AUGAAGCCAGUCAAUGAAACGAAACGCCUCCUCCCCAAAAUCUCCAAUGCCGUGGGGUCCACGGAACGACGUCGGAUGGAGGACCACGCCAGCUCUUCUGCGCUCGCUCGGAUCAGCCUGGGGGAACACGUCGCCAUAGUCUGGAGGUAAGUCGUCGCCGACACCAACGACGGCGGAGGCAGAGGUCGAAACGACGGAAACAGGGGUCAGGAAGACGCCGUUGGUCAUUUGGAAAUGUCGGAAGAAUGGAAUUCGGGUUUUGGGUUGGAAGUGAGUGGAGGUGGGGAUUGAGGAGGAGUUGGAGAGCUUGGGGGAGAGAGUGGAAGGGAGGAGUGAGAGAGAGCUAUUCACGGCCAUUAAGAGAGAAAGUUGCAGAGUGGAAGUGUGGAUGAUGAUGAUGAUGGUGGUUGAUAUUGAUAAGCAUUCAAACAGUACAUGUGCCGACGAAGGAUGCGGAUCAGUUGUGUGUAAUACACCCCAGUAUAUAUACACUAUAUAUUAUAGUGGUUGUCUCUUUCCCAGAAGCGUGUACGAAUCACGAGUGCCAUGUGUAGUCUGGUUCUCCUAUUUAGGAUUAAGAUUGAGAAUUUGAAGAUUCAAGAAUGAGUCCUUUAAAAAAAAUGAAAAAAGAAAACAAGAAGAUAUCAUUGUGUUCCAGGCCGAAGUGGUCAGGUCCGAACCUGACGAGCAAAAACUUCAGACGGUUUACAGAUUUCCAAAUAUUGUCUAUCUAUUAAGUUGACCCGAUCCGACCCGACCUGAUGUUCAGUCCUUUUUGUUCUUUCACUUUCCUAUCUUACCCUUAGUAAUGUGGCUAUACUCCAUUUUUGCAUUUAAAAAAUUAGUAUGGCAUCGGCCUCUUUGACACGUGGGCCAGCCUUUUUUUAUACAUACACGUAAUGCCUUCGGUUUUGAUUCCUUUGGCAAGCAGGUAUUAUAUUUAAUUUUCUUCAACAGCUAUACUUUCUAAAAUCUAUUUCCUUUUUUUUUUUUGGGUAUUUCAUUAUUUAAUUAAUUAUAUACCUAGUCCACUUAGAAAAACUUCAUUGACUUUCCUGAUCUAUUUCCCUGUUUGCCUUUCACCCAAACCUUCCUAAGGCAACGAGGUUAACAAAACCACAAACUAUAUAUACACAGUUAUUAAUGGUUCGUCAGCUAAAUAUAUUUUUUUGUUAACCUAAAGCACCUCUCUAUAAGCACACUAACAAGAUGAAGAGAAAAGCUUCAGAAGUAACAAUGGAGCAGAAAGAAGCGAAGGUGUAUAAAAACAGAAGGUAUGUGAGCUUCUCAAAGAGGCGCAGCGGCCUGUUUAGCAAGGGUAAAGACUUCUGCAAAAAGUUUGAAGCAGAAAUUGGCAUUGUUGUGCUCUCUGAAGCAGGCAGGCCUUACUGGUCCCCGGACAACCCUUCCCUCGACGCCGUCCUCGACCGCUUCAUGCAAUCAGACCAGGCACCUACUAACGCCAUUGAUUUCAAGGUUAGACUACAGAAGAAGAGGAAGAGAGAGGAACCUGAUAAUGAGGUUCAGGGACAGCUUGCGGAGGAGGUGAAGUCAUGUCGAACAGUUAAGGACAUGUUUUCGUUGAGAGACAAAUACUUGGUGCUUCUUCAGGACCAUACCAACAAGAGGAUGAAAGGUUCACAUGUUUUGGAGAAGGGUGAGGCAAAAUGUGUCUCUACCUCACCAUCAAACCUAAGUUUUGAGGAUAGUGUUUGGGUGGAACCAAUUUCAAGGCAUAAAGACAUAUGUUCUAGUUCAACCCUAAAGCUUGAUAGUCAACAUGAUCACCGUCUUGGGAACAACAAUGGUGUCCGCGGCGGCCACGAUGACGGGUGGUUUUGGGAUGAGAUUUUGAAAGAUGGUUACACACAAGGUGUUCUGAAACCAAUAUCAAAAUCCGAAGACGUUUUGUAUGAUUCAACCAUAAAUUUUGAGAGUGAUCGUAAUGUGUUUGAUACUCAUCAUGGUAACAUAAAUGGGGGAGAGGGAUCUUCUUGGUGCAAAGAUUGGGAGAAUGGUAAAGCGCAAUGUGCCUUGAUGCAACCAAUUUCGAAAUCCGAAGAGGUCUUGCAUAAUUCAACCCAAAAUUUGGAGAGUAAUCGUAAUGUUUUUACUGAUCAACAUGGCAACAACAAUGACGAUUAUGGAACUUGUCGGGAUAGAAUUUUGGAAUAUGAUAAGACUCAUCAACUAGCAAAUUCUGAAGACGUCUUGUUUACUUCAACCCCAAAUUUUGAGUGUGAUCGUCUUAACAAGAAAAACGAUGGUGGCGACAACAACAUAUCUUUCUGGGACAAAAUUUUGGAAGAGGGUAAAUCGGAAUGUGUCUCUUUCCAACCAAUAUCAGAAUCCGAAGACUUCUUGUAUAAUCCAAGCCUAAAUUUCGAGAGUGAUAAUCGUGGGUUUGAUCAUUAUCAAGGUGACAACAAUAGUGGUCCGGAACUUUGUUGGAAUGAAGAAUGGGAACAUGGUAAGGUAGAGUGUGUCAAGACACAACCGAUAUCAAAAUCUGAGGACAUCUGGGCUAACACAACCCCAAAUUUUGAGAACAAUCAUGAUCAUGUUCAUGGUGGUAAAAGACAGUAAUUUUUUAGUAAGUUAGUAACCAAAAAUUUGGUGCUUUCCUGAAUAACACGUGUAUGUAUGUAUGUGCAUACAUUCAACUAAUAGAUCCUAGCACAGUUAGAAUUACACCAUUCUGAAGAGUUGUCGAAGCAGAACUACAAUAUAAUGUCAAUUUACAACCAAGAUUGUCAAAUUAUAACACAUACAAAAUUGUCACCGCAGUAAAAGUAUAUUAUAAAAUUAUUAGUGCACAAAUAAUAUGAAAAUCUCACUUGAUAUAUCUGGGUCAUUACGGAAAUCUUCAAGCUCACUUUUAAGUUCACCUUCACUCCUAAUAAGCCUCUCUGCAGCCUGACAAAGCGCUAAACUAAGAAAUAGUUUUUGGUGUAAGAAAUGAAAAACUGUUCUGAGUUAAGUGAAAGUCAUGGAAAACUGUUCACGAUGACUUUUAAGUUCACCUUCACUCCUAAAUAUCCCAACUUCAGUUUCACACAGUUCAACAUGAAAAACUGUUCUAAGAUUGCUGAAGUGAAAGUCAUGGAAAACGCACAAAGACGAGGAACAGUAAUGCUGUUCGCAUCAUUUACCUUAGCUAUCAGAGGAUCCUUUAAGUCAGCAACAGUUGAGUAAUUCACGCGGUCAGAAUCACUGCAUGAACCAGUACACCACAAUCCCAUAAGACAAAUCCAUGUAGAAACCCAUAUAAAAAAACUCAAUAUGAUGGCAGAUGCAUUAAUAAAGUUUUCCUCACACUGGUUUUGGAAGCUCUUCCUUUGUCAACAAACCAUCAUUGACAAGCUCCUCAAGAGGUAUCAACAGAGUGUUACCACAAUUUGCAUCCUGACAAAAUCCCAUGAACCAAAAUUACCCACAAAUUCAAUUGUAAAUCACAAUGAGGAUAUGCCACACUACAGCCAAUCAAAAUAUUAGGCUUUACACAAUUCACAUAUGAAAUCCAAGCUGUGUGUGUAUAUAUUAUAUAGAUAUAUAAGCAAUUGGGUAAGUUUUGACAAAAAAAAAUAAAUAUAAAGCAAUUGGGUAAGUAUAAUUUUACCUGACCAGAGUAAGGGGAGCCCUCUUCAUUGGCUUUCCUACCAGGGGGAACCAGUGGAAGCACCUGCCAGAGGGAGCACCCGGCUUCAUGAAGCCAGUCAAUGAAACGAAACGCCUCCUCCCCAAAAUCUCCAAUGCCGUGGGGUCCACGGAACGACGUCGGAUGGAGGACCACGCCAGCUCUUCUGCGCUCGCUCGGAUCUGCCUGGGGGAACACGUCGCCAUAGUCUGGAGGUAAGUCGUCGCCGACACCAACGACGGCGGAGGCGGAGGUCGAAAGGACGGAAACAGGGGUCAGGAAGACGCCGUUGGUCAUUUGGAAAUGUCGGAAGAAUGGAAUUCGGGUUUUGGGUUGGAAGUGAGUGGAGGUGGGGAUUGAGGAGGAGUUGGAGAGCUUGGGGGAGAGAGUGGAAGGGAGGAGUGAGAGAGAGCUAUUCACGGCCAUUAAGAGAGAAAGUUGCAGAGUGGAAGUGUGGAUGAUGAUGAUGAUGAUGGUGGUUGAUAUUGAUCAGCAUUCAAACAGUACACCGACGAAGGAUGCGGAUCAGUUGUGUGUAUUACACCCCAGUAUAUUUAUAUACACUAUAUAUUAUAGUGGUUGUCUCUUUCCCAGAAGCGUGUACGAAUCACGAGUGCCAUGUGUAGUCUGGUUCUCCUAUUUAGGAUUAAGAUUGAGAAUUUGAAGAUUCAAGAAUGAGUCCUUUAAAAAAAAUGAAAAAAGAAAACAAGAAAAUAUCAUUUUGAUUCCAGGUCGAAGUGGUCAGGUCCGAACCUGACGAGCAAAAACUUCAGACGGUUUACAGAUUUCCAAAUAUGGUCUAUCUAUUAAGUUGACCCGACCCGACCCGACCUGAUGUUCAGCCCUUUUUGUUCUUUCCCUUUCCUAUCUUACCCUUAGUAAUGUGGCAAGUAUGAUGCCCGCUUUGGUGUUGAUGUGUGAAAAAAAUAAUAACUUUUUUUUUUGCGCACCCACCCUUCCAUCUUCUGUUUCCCCUCUUUCUUCAACAACAAAAUCCAGAUUCGGAUUUUUUAAGAGUUUUGGGAUUUGAGUAGUGGCUUGGCUAUCGGGCGGUAAGGUCGGUGGUGGGUGCGUUGGGGCGGCGAUGGCUAUCGGUGGCUGGGUGGCUAGGUGCGUUUGGAUUUUGAACUUGCAGAGAGAGAGGCGGUGGCCGAAAAAUUUUAAAACGACAGUGGCGGUGGCUACAACACUGAAAAUCUUGCCGUUGAAUCUUCCCUUUAAAAUUGACAGCUUUUUGGUUGUGAGAUACUCAACCAAACCCCUUCUGCCUCCCACAUCAGGCUCCAAGACUUCAACCCUUUGGGUGGGCACCCCCAUCACAGAGCAUUCGUGUUUUUUUUCACGUCGGCACUAACGACAAAACUUUAUGGUUCUGUUGAGGGGGACGGAAGGGGCGAAGAGACAGAGGGUGGGUGGGGUUUGGGAUUUGUUUUAGAAUUCUUUUUUUUUUUUUAAAAAAAAAUACAUCAACAACUAGGUAUCUCACUUGCCACGUCAUUAAAAGUGAAUUAGAAAGAUAAAGAAAAAAAAUGAAAAAAAUUAAUUUUUCUUUUAAAAAGCGAAGAGGCACGACAGAUAAAGAAGAAAGAGAAAAAAGAAGAAGACGGGAAAGAAUAAAAUAAGAAGAAAAGAAAUAGGAUUCCAUUAAGUUCGGUUUUGGUUUUGACAACAACAAUUAAAGAAAAACAAUGAAAUUUCUGGAAAUUUUAAAAAAAUUAUUAACAAUUUAUAUAAAUUAAAGAAAAAAAACAGAUUUAGCCAUUACUUCUUUCGUUCAUGUAAUUAGAUGCAAGCAAUUAAUUUCACAAAUUCAACUGACAAAUCUUUUGUACCGUUGAUAAAAAAAACAUAUUUUAUAUAUAUUUUGUACCAAAGUUGUUGUCAGCACAAUUAAGCCAAGUUUUCCAAACUAUGAUUACUAUCCAGAUUAUCGCAUGGGUUAAAUUAUGAUUUUUGCCCUUGAGGUUUUGUUCCACGUGGUUUUCUCAGUGAGGUUGUCAUUAAUAUGAUGAUUCUCACUCUAUAAUAUUUCAUGAUUUUUAAUGGACAGUCCCGAUCUUUUGAACUAUGGAAUAUCUUUUCGUAUAAAAAAAAAAUUUAAUUAAAGCAUCACGUAGAGUUGCAAUUCAAAAUCCCAAGGGGCCAACGAAACAUACAACUUUAUUUAUUUAUUUUUAUGCCACAAUCAGAUUCAACCAUUAGUUCUUUCAUUCAUGUAAUAAGAUGCAAGCAAUCAAUUUCGAAAAUUCAACUGGCAAAGAUUCUAUAGUUAUGCUGUUCUCAGUACAUUUAACUCAAGUUUGCCUAAAUUAUUAUUACUAUCCAUAUCAUGACACAUAUCAAAUAUUUCUAUAUAUAAUUUAUGGUCAUGUUUAGUUGGCUGGAUUGGAUUGGAUAUAUUCAAUUAAAAUGAACAUGGGUCUAAUUUAUUUUUUUAAUGAACUUAAUUGUAUCACAGACUGGAUAUUGAACAUUAGAUCUAAAUCCCAAAUAACUAUGGCUCUAAAACCCCAACUCCGAUCCAAUCCAAUUCGAUUCAAUAUCGAAAUUUUUAUUUAUUAUUAAAAAAACAAAACACCCCAAACCGAACAUGUCAAUUCAAGUUACUCAGGAUACAGUUUCAAAUGCCCAGCUCUAAUAAGGACUACGUCUCCGGGGAUUAACGAAACCACGGGGAUGUAUGUACUUUAAUUGAAUCCCAAGUAAGCCACUGGCAAUUGGCACUUUGACCUCUUUGUAAGAUUUGCAAAAUGGGGCUUACGCCAGCCACCGUCCUUGUUUGCUUUGUGGCCUCAGCGACUAAUUUAAUUUGCCUUCUUUCUGGAUGGUUAUUGUUCAUGGCGCAUAUAUGACCAUAUAAUAUAUUAUAGAAUUUUUUUAUUUUUUUAUUUUAAUACUUGAUGUUUGUCAACUUCCCAAUUUAAUACCUAAAUUGUUAUUUGUCCCAUUUAGACCCAAGUAUCAAAUUUUGAAAAGGAAAUUAGUACAGGCAAUCGGUAAGGGAGUUAAUACAAAUAUUUAUUGGGUGUCCGAGAUUUCGAAACUCUGAUCGCUUGAUAAAAAUUUUAUUUGGCUACAAAUCUGAGUCACAGUAGCGGUUAAAAUUUCACAAAGGAUGAACUCAAUGCCAUUGCCAUUCAUCCAACACUCCUCAAUCUAUACUAUGAUAUAUCACUAUAACAUUCACUAUUAAUUAUGGGAAUUAUACAUAUAAUUUUCCAAUUAAUUAAUCUAUCCCGUUGACUUUCAGAUGCAGAAACGUUGACCACAUGGUCACCUUUCUUCAUCAUCACACCUCAUCAGACCAAUCGCUAAGGUCUGUAGUCUCAUAAAACAAGCCAUCCACAAUCUGAUCAAUCAACGAAUCUAUUAAACCGUUACAGCUUAAGCUCAAGACCCGACCCACGUUCUUCCGGUUACUGGAUAGCCAAGCAGAGACCGCCGCGCAAGCCACAGCAGCCAAACACACCCCCGCCGCCUCCGCGAUCCCCUCCACCUCCACCUUCCCAAACAAGGAGUUUCCAGUCACCGCCUCCGUCGCUACCGUCGCAGCGAAAAUCACCAUGGCCAGCCGACCCGACAGGAUCUCGAAGUCUUGGCUCUUCUUCGAGCUCUCGAUGUACUCCGACAACGCCGCAAAGAACGGCGACGUGUCGUCCUUCUUCGUCCUCAUCAGUCCGGCGAGAUCUGAGCCGUACGAUCUCAGAGUACAGAGCCGCGGCUGCAGCACGAUCUUCGCGGUCUUCGGCUCCGGCGCCACGGGUUUCGGAACCGGUACCUGAACUGGAACCGCCGGGUCGCGCCUGCUAACCGCCGGGUUUUCCUGCCUCUGCAGCUCGCAGCGAAUGGCGCGCGCCGCCGUGGCCAUGGAAUUAGAGGAAAGUUAGUGAGAAGGUGCGUUUUGAGGAAUUGGCUCGAUUCCCAGAAUCCGGGGGUUUUUGAGUAUUGGGGAUUCGGGACGUGUAUUUGAGAUUCGGUGGGUGGCGGUCUUGAGCCCACGUCUUGGAUGGGUUGUGAGGUGGAGGCUAGCGAAUGUGGGACCCUCUGUUGGGACGUGGCAGCUGAUAUGCUCGAUAAUGUAGUUUUCAUUUGGAGGAAAAAACAACAGGGUGAUUAGGUUGAUCACAGUCCUGUCGUUUUUAUCAGGAAAGUCAUGGAUUCUUCUUAUGUCCGUACGAAGAGGAAGGAGCUAUGGAUUUUUCUGUGAACAGGAAGAGUAGAUUUUUUUUGGCCCAAUACCCCUCAACUACAUCGAUUGUGGAAUUUAGCAUUCUGAAUUAUUUUUUCAAUUAAUUUAGUCCUCGGCUUAUUUUAAAUGAUCAAUUUAGCCCCUCUCGUGAAAUUUUUACACUUCCAUUCAAUUUUCCCUUAAUUAUAAGGGUAAAUGUGUCAUUUUACAAGGUAUAGUACCAAAAACAAAUAAAAUAUGUAAAAAAUGAAAAAAAAAUUCAAAAUAGAAAGAACAAAAGAAAACCAAUAAAUCCCCACCCGAACACCAACUCCCCUCUCCUCGUCUACCUUUUCACACGAGGAGCCUUUCAAUUUUUGCAUUCUCAUUUGCCAUUUGGAAAUUUCACGAUUUGCUUCAAGGGAAAUUAAGGUGAAUAUUGUUUGGGUGCUUCUGCUUGAGCUCCAUACGAGCUCUCUUGGUUGGUUUCUUUGUGGGUUUUGUGUUACAUGUGAUUUGGUUCAAUAUUUUGGCAACUUGGGGGAAGAAAACUUAUGGGUUUUCUUCAAUUCUUUAUGUUGUAUUCAGAGUUCAACUUCUCAUCAGGAAAACUUUCGUGGGUAUGUGAAGAUUUUCUUAUAUAUGGUGGAAAUUGGGAUAUAACAUGUUUUUUUCUUAAGGAAAAUUGAAUUGGAUUGGUACCAAAUCGUGAAAGUUAGAAGGUUUUGUUUAAUUUUGCGUGAUGAAGCUUGUUGGGAGCAUUGUCGAUACCGUCGCCGUGGCUUGUUGGACUGGUUUAUGCCAUGCAUAGUUGAGUUUUUAAGCAAUGAGGAUUGGACUGUGCAGAAGGCCGUGGCUAAGGCGCUUGGGAAGGUGGCCUUGGUGGAGAGAGAUUUGACGACGAUGUACACAAGUUAAAUUAAAAUAAAGAAAUCAUUAUCUAAUAUGAUUGUAAGAACUAAAAAAUGGAGAAGUAGGAGAUAAAAUAUUAUUUUGUUAAAAAGGAAAAAAGAGAACUAUGAACAUAGAAAAAAAAUAGAGACAUAAACAUAGAGACAACGAAAAAUAAAACUAUAAACUUUUUUUUAUUUUUAAAAAGGGAGAUAAACAUAGAGAAAAAAAAGUAAAAAAAGAAGAGAAAAACAAUGUAAGCCCAUUUGGGCCCGGUUCGGUGAACUUUCUCAGGCCUAACCCAUGAAGCUUGGCCUGCCCUGUUAACUGAAGUCCAGCCCAGCCCAUUAACGAUCUUUAUUCAAACUUGGACAUCUCCAACUUCUAUUUUGUAGUGGCUCAUUGUCAUUGUUACUACUUGACCCUCUGGCUACAGGGAGCUGCUAGAAUGCAGAGGCUAUUAUGAGGAGGUUAUGUGCGGAAUGAUAACAACCAUCAAUUUUAAAUGAACGGUUCAGAUUUAAGUAGGAAGUUUUUUUACAAUCGGGUUAAAAUUACCCAUCACAAAAUAAGCAACCCGGAACUUCUCUCUCAUAUCUCCUAUUUUCUUUGAAACAGAGGUCCAAAGUCCUACGUCUGAAACUUCCUCUAGAGACAAACAAGAGCUGCCCCUUUUCAACUUCCAGAAGCCGAAUUUGCUGCUCCAAAAAGAAAAAAAACGAAGACACUCAGAUGUGGAGGACGUUGCUGAAGAAGAAGGAACAAGGGUUGAAACCCACAACUCAAUUCUUUCACUGGUAUGUGAUUUUUCAGCCCUAUUGCAAACCCUUUUAUUCAAAAAAUAUUCUGUUUUGUUAAACCCCUGUCAUUAAUGUUGCAGAAAAUGGUUCAUCAUUACCCAUUACAACAACUAUAACCUAAGAGCUCUCUUAUUCUGUCUUUGUGUCACAAAAAUUAUUUGCAAGAUCUUCAUAGUAGAGAGAAAAGAAGAAAAAGAGACAAAUGAUAUGUUGAAAGAGCCUCCAGUAGUCUCUCACUCGCCUAACUUUGCACUCCGUUUCUGAACAAGUAAUACCCAAGUUUUGAAGAACUUGUAGUACUCUUCUUCAAUUCCAAUUGCGAUGGUAAGUCAAACACUGCAAAACCACUUCUCUUUGUUUCUUUAUUUCACUGAUUUUGCUUUUAAUGUUUUCCAAUUUCUUGUAAUCAUUAUUAUUUUUUAUUCUCUUUUGUAUUUAUAUUUUAUUUGAAAAAUUGAUUUUUACAGUUUUUAUUUUAUUUUCAUACGUAAAUAUUCUUUCUUGCGUUUAACCCCUUACUACUUUGGGUUUUAUUAUGAUGCCUUUAGUAUAUUGGCUUUAAGCUUUGUUGAAUCAAUAAUUAAUAAAUAAUGAAAAUAACAACACGUUAAUCUAAUGGUGAUCUUUAUGGGUCUUGCAUACAUACAGUAAAAUUAAUGUUUGUAAGUUUUAUGAGAAUGUCAAUAUUUUAACAUACUUUUGAUACUGUAAAGUUGGCAUAUGUUGGAUCUUUAUUUUCUCUAUUGUUUUGGUGCAGUCUACAAUCCUCAAGGUUGGUAUCAUGCCAAGGUUGUGUUGGUGCCGUGAAAAGGGUUCUUGGAAAACUUGAAGGUUUGUUGAUAACUCUUGCAUUUAUCUAGUUCCAUUGUCUUGCUCUUCUUCUUCUCUGAGACUAUGCUUCUUUAACUGUUUGAACAAUGCCAAAUGCACUAUUGAUGAUUUCCUAAUUUGUAUUUUUGUUCGCCUGCCAAGACACACAUUCACUUCACCCAUGUUUAUUACUUUUGAAUUGCAAUUGAGUAGUAUGAAAUUGUGUGCAUGAAUAUGAACUUUAAUUUUGCAAUGGUACUGUCUUGUGAAAGUUUGCCAUAUGAAGAAUUGGGUCAUUUAGAAAAGCCAACAAUCUAUAUGAAUUUCGGUAUUGGUUUUUGUUUUGAAAUUGGUUUUAGUUGUGAUUGAAUGUUAUGUUUUUGUUUCCACUGUGAUUGAAUGAUUUGCUUCUAAUAUGCAUUUUUGAUCCAUUUUAUACAGAUGGAAGAUUGUCUUGUUUCAAUUGGCGGCGUUCUUUUGGGGAGGAAAUUGCUAACUUUCAGCUUAAAUUCGGGUCUAAGAGGACAUGUCUUGGAAUUUUUCUUAUACAUAUGAAUUGUGUUAAAAUUCUAGACCAAGAGGAGAUGAAAUUUUUUUGUUUUUUGCCACUUUCUUAUGUAUAUCUUAAGAUGUAAUGAGAUAACAUUGUUAGUUCAUCAAUUUAUGAAAGUCAAGUUAGAAGGAAAUUUGUCAAUCUCUAGUUUCCAUGGUUUUAUCGUUCCCCUUGCAAAGAAGAAAAAAAUACAAAUGUAACCAAAUCAAUGAUUUAAUUGGCAAAUGCCAGGACUGAUAUGUAUUGCAUAUGUAUUGCACAUGUAUAGCUAUUUAUUGCUUGUGUAUUGGCCCCGUAUAUCUUUUUUUAAAAGUAUGUUGGAAUAAAUUUAUAGGGGGAGUAUGAAGUUUGUGUAUUGCCAUUGUAUAGCCUUUUAUUGCUUGUGUAUUGCUACUGUAUUGCCAUCGUAUAGCCUAUUAUUGCCUGUGUAUUGCCCCCGUAUAUCUUUUUUUUAAAGCCUUGGAAUAAAUUUAUAGGGGGGGUUUGUGUAUUGCCAUUGUAUAGCCCUUUAUUGCUUGUGUAUUGCUACUGUAUUGACCUCGUAUAUCCUUUUUUUUUUUUUUCAAGUCUGUAUUGCGGGUAUGAAUGUGGGGAUGGGGGAAAAAAGCUUCACGGGGAUGGGGAUGGGAAUGGGAUACCCACCCCUGAUUUGACCCAUUGCCAUCCUACAAAGGCAAGAAGAAUUAGCUAUAUAUACACAUAAUGUAUAUAAUGUGCUCUCUUCAAUUAAUAAUAUAAAUAAAAGUAUUUUUCCAUUGCAUACACUUGCAAAUAUAUACAAACAACAUAUUCAAGACUGAAAUUUCUCAAGUAAAUUAAACUCAAUUUCAUUCUACGAGGACUAAAUAAUUACAUGGUCUGUCUGACACACAAAUAGUUCCUUAAUUACAUGUUUUUUUUCCUUAUAACUAUAGUACACUUCUUGCAACAGAAUGGAAUGUUGUCCCACCCCAAAUUGAUGAAGGUUCUCAAUGACAACAAUCUUCUAGAAGCCAACAAUAAUCUUGCUCCAACUGUUAUGAAAAAAAAAUGUCAAUUAUCUCAAGACUUAAGAGUUAGGGUUUCAAAUCGCUAGAGACCAAGCUUGUGGGAUAUGGGCCGUGACAUGAUCACGUACUCUACCAAUUGUUGCUUCACCUUCCCAAAUUCAUCCAUCAUCUUCCUCUACAACAGAAACAAAAUAAAGCAAUAUCAAUAUGUACAUAUAUAAAUAUGUAUAUACAGAGUAAUACAAAAGACAAAUUGGUACUAAUGAGGUAGAUCUUUGAUAUGCUCUAUUGGAACCAUCACUUUCCUUUUAUUGCUAUAUAUGCAGAUGCGCAAAAGCACAAACAAGCCCAAUUUAAAAUCUCCUACUUGCGUAUCAAGAAAAGACUCAAAGCAGACUAAGUUUCUUAUAAAAAUAGAGUUCAUUGUUUUUCGUCUGUGCUUCAUUCGUAACUUAUAACUCACAUGGUAUCCAAAAUUUCACGCAGUGCAUCAAAACUCAAUCAAGUUAACUCUGGAACAAUGAGAGAACAACAAUAUUAAUCAAUGAAAGAAUUAUGAAAGAGGCUACCAUUGAUCAACAACAUUAACUCCAGAACAUAGACACCACAGAGGUAUGCAGUACAAUUUACUUUCAUUCAAUUUCUACACAAAAAUAAUCUUUUAGAUUGAUAUAGUCAUUCAUUGCAAACUGAAAUUUCACAGCCAUGAGAAUAAUGCCAAGAGGAAGAGUAUCAUAUCACCUCAAAAUUGGAAAACAUCUAAUGGACGAGGAAAAGCAAAUCUACCAAGCACAAGACGAAAAGCCUUACUGCUCAAGCUUGAUCAGUGCAUAUCUACAUGGGCGUUAACCCUCGUAUGAUCAUAUUGCUUAUUUUUUCUAUUCUUGGCAUUGGCUUUGCACCAUUUAUGUUUUAACAGUACAUGAAUUGUUCCAAAUUAAAAACUUCAAACCGCAGGUCCUAAUUAUAGGCAGUAAAUUAUGACUUAAUAAAAAAUAGUCAUUGGAGUUGGAUCUAGGAAGCUGAAAGCAUCACAUGGUUCAAAGAAACCAAAUCAGGGGACCACGUACAACAGGGGCUGUUGUGCUAGCUAGUACUGCAGGGCAGGGCAGGGCAGGGCAAGGCAGGGCAGAGCAUGGCAAGGGACAUUUGGAUGCAAAUGCUAGAGAUAUAGACCCUUUCUUUUAGGUAAAUGAGGAAGACGAAGCAGCAGAAAAACCUGGCCAUGUGAAGUAGCAGCAUCAGACCCUUUCUAUGUUUCUUUUGUUUGUUCACAUACUUUUUUGUCAUAUCAUGGCCCUUAAGAUUCCUGCAAAAUAAUAACAUGAACUUUAUUUCUCAAUUUCACAAUGACACAAAACAGUGUAGUAUUAACUUGUUCACAGCACAAGUUAAAUGGCGAUGUCGAAAUGAAAGAAACUCAAGGCAUGACACAAAAGUUGAAAAAUAAGAAAAUAAAUCUAAUAGAAUUCCAAAUAUCAAAUGACACAACCAAGUAUCCAUUCACUAUAAACUGACAUAAUAUGGCACCUGUGUAAGUCUUCAUGUAAAAACAGGGACAUUUCUCAAGCAUUGUUAAAAGGUAAUUAAACUAAUGUCAAUGGCGAUCUAACAAAACCAUUAUGCACUGUAAAGACAUCUUCGUAAACAAAUUAUAAUAAAACUCACAUGUGCUUCCUUCCAUUUAGAUGGGUUCAUUGGGUCCUCCUAGAAGUUCACCUUUAAGUAUAUACCAUGAGAAUUGUCCCAAUUGGUUUGUAUCUCAAAGAAAACCAUAGUGCGCCUCAUUAAGGUGAUUCAUCGAACACCUACAGGCCAUUUUUUCAUGCACUCAUCAACUCAGCCUAACCAAACAAAUAGAACCAUAUAUUUAGAACAAGCAAAUAAGCAUGAUAAAUAAAACGAUGUAGCAAGAAUUUGGAUUUUGAGCAACUUUCUAGACCACUAUAUGAAAUUGAAACAAUCAGAAGAAAACCCAAAUAACAUAUGGGUAUGAAAGUAAAGGCGAAAAGUUGAGCUGGGUACCUGGGACGUCAUCUCUAGGUAUAUGGAUUUCAGGAAUGCUGAAGAAAUUGAGAAAUUUAUUGAACCGGAGGGGAAGAACGGCGGUUGAAAUAGGUGACAGAGAGUGAAAGAUGGAGGUGGAGAACAGCGGCCGAAAGAGAGAGAGUGCGGUCGUCGUUGCUGAUGUGGGUUCUGAGGAGGUGACAGUUGAGUACUUCGAUUGUGAAUAGCAUUGCUCAAUGGGUAAUGCCAACCCGGUUGUAGCAUAAAGAGGAUACUAAUGUCAGCCAUUUGAUCAAUCUAAUGGCCUAGUAAGUAGUCCCCACAAAUAACCUCCGCAUAGAAUCUCCGCAUUAUAGUCUCGCCGUCUGGCUACAUACAUAUAUCCAACAGGAGUAGUUCUGGGCUAGAAUAUAUCUAAUUUUUCUAAGUGUAAACAAUCUACAUUAAUUAAUGAACAGAUAAUGAAUCGAAAGAUAUGAACAAAGAAAGAUGCAUCUUUGUUGAUGAAUCAAAUGAAUCGAAGACACCCUUCACCGUCAUUUCAUUAGGCCAACGUCUUAUCUUGGGUAACAAUUCUUGUUUCUACCCUAAUUCAUACAUAAAUCACAAUAAGUCUACUUCUUUCCCUUCCCCUAGUAUAAGUUACAAUGUCACAUAUACUGUCAUAUCCUUACAAAGAAAAUACUGAGCUCAGGCCCAUUAUUUCCUUCUGGGCUCAACAUGUACAAGGUCUCUGAGUCCUUCGAGCCCACAAUGCGUUCGAAGAGGGCCCGCAUGUACACCAUCUCGCCAUCCGGGCCCUCAACCUCAGACUUCCCGGGUAAGACAGCUGCGCCCAUGGUCACAGCCUUGAGAAGCUCCAUGACACUCAAGUCUUCCUCCGUGGCCUCCCUCUUCACCGCAUAGCCACUCUUCUUCCCGUUGCAAUACAUGGUCCACACCGGCUCGUCCAAAAGACUCGUCUUGUCCCUAUCCGCUCUCUUCUCGCAUUCCAACGCAAUCCUCACCAUCCCAGACCCCAUCUCCUUCUGAAGCACGUUCGUCUGCAUGGCCAGCUCAACCACAAGGCUUGGGAGACACCUAGGGGUUUCUUGAAUGGACAGGGACACGCGUCCUUUACGAUACCCGAACAGCGUGCCGCUGACUCGGGUUCCAGAGGAGGCGGUCUUGCUGGAGUCCAUCCUCCCCAUGGGGAGUGAUGGCAUCCUGCAGGCGGGGGUGAUGAUGGGGAAGGACCGGAAAACAGAGCGAAACACUCGGAUGACUUUGCUUCUACUUUUUCUAUUUUGGGAUGGUUGGAGGAGGGAGGAGGGUUGGCGGGGUAGCGGCGGAGGCAGUGGUGGGACUGUGGAUGAGGAGGAUGCCGUUUGAUGAAGCUGAUCUUGUGAUGGAGAUUUUGGCUCCCCCAUUAAUGGCUUUGAUGACGAACCAGGAAUGGGAGAGUGCCAUGAGAGAGACAGAGAACUGAGACGGACAAAGAAAGAGGGAGAGAGAGAGAGAGAAGUGGGAGCGCAGAGAGAAAGGGCCUGUGUCUAGUCGUUGGGAAAGUUUGUUAUUGGAUUUGCGGUUUUGGAUGUGCUUGCGAAGCUGAAAUUCCGGUGGUUGACCAUAUCUAUUUUAGUAUAUUUACCUUCUAUAUAUGUAACGCAUAUUUUAAUUAAUUAUGAGAGUAAUUAAAUCACAUUUGGAGGCACUUUUCAUGUAUGUUAUUGGCUUAUGAAUUAGAAAUUGGAAUGACAAAUAUUUUACGUGAGAAAUUGAUUUUGCUUAUUGCACUUUUGAAGACACUUUUCCUUUUGUUUUGAUUAAUGUCUUGCAUUCUGGUGGUUGACUAAAAACACGCAAAACAUAAAUGUGCACGUUGAAUCCAUUGAUGUUUCAGUUUGAAAUUUGUAUGGUUUAACUGAUGUAGUGUAUUCGAAAUAUGAACGAUCAUGAUUAUGUGGUGUAUUCGAAAUAUGCAAAAAAUUACUCCCGCUAUGGUAGUGUUGCUACAUAGUAUCAUGUUUUUUUAAGAAUAACUACAAAGUUGCCUAACGCCAUGUGUGUAGGCCAAAUACUAGGCUGUAGUUGAGACUACUGUCCCAAGUUAAAGCAUCUGCUGCAAAGUUUGCCCCUCGAUCCAAUAUUGAACAAAAUCCAAAAGGAAUAGCUCAUGCAAGUUUAAUACAUCUUUUGGAAUGUCUUAAAACAGCACCAGCCGCGACUCACGAACGAUAGAACCAUCAAAUUUUAGCUUUCAAUGAUAAUCAUAAGAGGGAUACCAUUUUAUAUUUCCCUUGUUUCUUAAGACUAGUAUUAUGAAUGUUCCAAAAAGUGAAAGAAGGUGUUUUAUAGAAGGAAUUGAAGAGAUAUCAAUAAGGGCUUUUCAAUUAAAAAUGACCUGGUUAUGUUGAAACCAAGCAUUAUUUGUUAGAGAUAUAAUGAAAGGCACUUUGAUCAACUAGAAGUUUUGGGUCAUUUGGGACAAUGAUCACACCCUAUAAGACUGGGCUGUGUAUUUAUGGGCUACGGAAUUUUAAGUUUGGUACUCAUAACCCAUAUGACUUAAAAUGAUCUAUGUGAGUUAUCAAAUGGGUCAAACCCACCAACUUCACUAUAUGGGCGAUUUUGGUUCUCUAUUGGGUGGUUGGAAAAAGAAAACCCAACAAACCAAAACUGAGACCAUGAAUGUUAGCUAAACAUUCAACAAAAGAAUAUCCUUCUUUUAAACAUCGGACCCACUUUUUACAUGGGUUGAUUCAUCGCAGCAGGAUCCACCAUCUCUCGAGGUUUCCCAGGCAUGAUUGGAAGCAUCGACUGCAUGCAUUGACAAUGGAAGAAUUGCCCAACUGCUUGGCAAGGAGAUUAUGGGAAUAUGAUUGGCCAAAAAAAGUAUAAUUCUGGAGGCCGUUGCAUCAUUCGAUACAUGGGUUUGGCAUGCCUUCGGAGUUACCGGAUCUCAAAAUGACCUCAAUGUGUUUGGUCAAUCCCUGGUAUUCAACGAUGUCUUGAGAGGUCAUUCCCCCCAGAUCACGUAUCAAAUCAACAAUACUGUAUACUCAGGAGGUACUACCUAGCCAACCAAAUUGUUCACCCUUUUAUGUUCGUUCAUGUGAUGGUAGGGUAAAGCUCCCCAUUGCCAUGAAAACCACUGACUGGUCAACAAGUCAACUUUCAUUAAUGUGUGAGCAUGCCACUGCUAACAAUGAGAAUUCUAGCAGACUUCUUUAAAAUAGAUUACUUGCGCCCCAAGUUACUGAUUUCUAAGGAAGCAAUUGUGAAUUUGGGUGAGGAAUAUCUCCCAAGUAAGUUCUUUUCUUGCCUCAGACUGGUGAGGACUUCACAAUUUUUCACAGUAUAAAACUGGUAGUUCUAGCCAGAAUAAAUGAUAAGAAAACGAACUGUUUUUAGGCAGAACUGUCUUUUACAAAACUCAAAAGGAAAAAACCAACUCUAGAAAGACAAAAAGAAGGCUGGACUUCCAUUUCUGCUUGGGUAAAGGCUUCUAAUCCGGGCUGGAUUGGAUAUGCCUGUGCUGGACUAGACUAUCAAUACUUUCAACUAUCAAGUUUUAGUUGUAAAUCGAUACCAAUGUUCGAGUUUGGCAGAGCUUUAAUCUAUUUCAAGUCUUGGAAGGCUUUUUGAAUGGGCAGAAUUGGAACCUCUUCAGUCUGGAAGGGGCAUAAGUGGCUGGACUUGAUGAUUACUGAGCUGGAAUUGCACUGUAGUACCUAUUCUACUUGAUCAGGGCUCUCCAUAAAUUUGUUGAGGUUUUCAUAUCUAUAAAAUCCGAACUCUGCUUGAUUUGGCUUAUGCUGGACCAAAUGUGUAACGAGAAAAAUCUCGUUUUGAAUGACUUAUUUCUCUAAGUCUGAACUAGAGUUGGAAAUUUUGAUUUGUAGCUGGCUUCUUUCUUGUGGCUCAAUGAGCUUUUGGUUGCUUAAGUGUUUUGAAGGUUUUUGAGAUCAAGUGAUCAUUUUGAGUUUUUGCUUUUGAUCGAUUUUUUGGUUGUCCUCAAUCUGUUCACCUCCUCUCAUAUUUAUAGAAAAUGUUGGAGUGGGGCUUCUAAUCUUUUAAUAAUAGGCGGCAAAUUUUUCAAAAACGAGAUCUUUUAUUUUAAAUGCAAAGAAAAAGGGAAGUUAUCUGUUUUGGCAGAGAAGAACCAUCAGUAGUCAGUUUUCGUGGAGGUCUUUUCCUUGCUUUUCUGAAAGAAAAACCAACUCUUCUUUAUUCUUUGUUUGUUCUUGGUAAGGAGAAAGAACACAAUCUGACGUGAUGGUCAGUUUGUUUUCCUUGUUUGAACAACUCCCUUGCUUCCCACUUAUCUUUUGAAAUCGUAAUUUGCUUAUCUCUUGGAAAGAUGUUGAAAGGUGUUUUGGUAUCCUGCAAGCUCGUUGGGCAAUUAUUAGGGGUGCUGCUCGUAUGUUUGAUGAAGAGGUGCUUCGGAGCAUUAUGUUGACUUGCAUCAUCCUCCAUAACAUGAAUGUGAAGGAUGAGUAUGAUUAUGAUGCCCCAGUGAUGUUCGAACCUGAUCCCAUGAACAUGGCAUUUACAAGAAUUUAUGAACAGCCCGUGGGAGCAAAUGGAUAACCAUUGGAGCACGAAUUGUUGAUUAGGGACGGUCGAUACAACAACUGUAUGAUUGACCAUUAUAUGAAAAUGCAAUCUUCUUAUGUUCACAAGAGAUGUCAAGUUGACUUGAUUGAGCACUUAUGGGUGAUGAAAGGCAAUCAUGGUGGAUGAAGUCAAGUUUAAUGCUUUGUUUGGAAUUUUGCUUUGUUUUAAAUUAUGCUUUGUUUUGUGUGUGGUUUGUAAUGAAUUAAGGUUUGUUUUGAUGAAUGAAAUAAAUAGCUAUAUUAUUUAAUGCUUUCUUUAUUCAAUAAAAGAGAAACAAUACAACAAAUUAAUACAUAUGACAACUCUUUCAAUACAACCUAAUGGUUUUGAUCAUUUAACCAAUCUGUGUUGCUAGGUCCAUAGUCAUGGAAAAGCUUUCUUCUCAUAGCAUCUAUUCGUUUUAGCUUCCAAUAGGAAUUUGUUUCAGGAGACAUAUGGCUAGUAUCCAUGGCCAUGAUUUUUAUCUUUAUCCUCCAUGUCUUGCUGUUGUGCAUGCUGCCUUUCAAUUGCAUAUGCUUCAUAUCGUGCCUUGUCAGCUUCUUCUCUUUUCAAGUCUCUCAAUUCUCAGUGCGUCGUUCUUAGCAAUUUGCUCCAAAUUUUUUGUACAUUUAGUGUUCGAAGUGCUCCCUCUCUUGGCCUUUGCUGCCUUUCUCUCAAUAGGCUUCGGAUCAUGUUGGAUUGGUAAGUCUUGAUCCAUUGGGAAGUCCAAUGGCGAAUCGGUUACCGGUGAAUCGUGGAGCGACGUCUCAUUCAACACAACCGUUGGACCAGUGGAAAUAAUUUUGAACCUCGAACAACUCUUCACAACAUCCCAACAUUGGUGAUUGAUGAAACUUUUUUUUCCUUGGCCAAUGACACCGAACCACAUUUAUGCUUGAAUAAUCUAUUAAAAAAAUUGGAAAUGCAAGAAAAUAUAAAUAAAAAAAAUGUGACAUUAAAUUAAAUAAAACGGCAUUUAGAAAUAUUUUACCUCGUCGCCAAGAUUUUGACCGCUUCGAAUGUUCUCCCUCGCUUUUGUUAACUCAUCUCUCCAUUUUCCUAACUCUUUGUUCAAAAUUUUCCACCUACUAGCUAAGGCCAUUUUCGUAUGAGCCGAACCCGAUCUUUCACAAAAUUCUCCAUUAAUUUUUCUCCACAUAUUAGAGGACUUCAUCUCAUUGCCCCUGAUCGGGCAAUGACCAACUACGACCCAACACUCACACAACAAAAUAUCUUCCACGGUUGUCCACGUGCCUCCGGCUUCGAUGGAAGAGGCCAUUUAUAUUUUUACACAAAUGGAAUGUAGUAGUAGAAAAUUUUGUGUGGAAAGUGAAAAAUAUUGGAAGGAUGAAUUUGUAUGAAGAUUUGGUGUUGAAAGUGAAUAAUAUUGGUAGGUAUUUAUAGAAAAAGAAAUUUUUUUGAUUUUUUUUUUUACAAAUUUUUACAAAUUUUUUCAAUUUUUGGUAGCUAAAAAAUGAACAUCCGUUGGAUUUGAUAAAUUUUUUGGAUUGGAGGCUCCAAGAGAAGCCAGUGGCUUGUAGCUGCAGGUCAGCAAUGACGUCAGCAGCUCGAAGGCAAGAAGACUGGCUAGAUCUCCCUGUGGACUUGUCAGGGCUCAUGGAUCCUACGUUUUGCCCGAGCUAGAUCUUGCACGCUAGAGUCUCCUUCUGGGUCUAGGGCCCCUUCUUGCCUGGGCUAGCCCCUGGCGGUGGACUUGCUCUUAGGGAAGAUCCUACAUUUGAUUAAGUGUAGGGAAGAUCCUACACUCAACCACAUUUAUCAAUUUAUUUAUUUUAUUUUUAAAAUAUGUAAUGGUAAAAUUACUAAAAGAUGCAUGUCACGCCAUCAAAGUGAGAUUCCAAAUACUAUUCUAUAAUUUCUCAGAUAAUGUGAGACAAAAAAUAAAAAUACAAAAGACAAAGUGAGCUAGUUGAAAGUCUAAAAAAAAAGGGAAAUUUGAAUGAAAAUAUUUAGAGGAAAAUAACAAUUAAGCUUUUUACUAAAGGAAAUGUGUCUUCUUCUUCCUCUUUAUUUUUUAUUUUAUUUAUUUUAGAAACAAAAAUCCAUAUAACAAGGGCAAAGUACAAGUAUUUGACAAGAGGAAUACACCUCUUAAGUUGGUUCUUACAUACAAUAGAGGUAUGAAAUAGAAACAGCAAGACAUUGAGAAAAUUAAUUACAUAAAUUUUGAGUUCAGCUCACUUAGAGUUGAAAGAGAAAGGAUCCAAAUUGCAGCAUUAGUGCUCCGUAGAAACCAUGGUAGAAAAUCAAGAGCUAGGAACAAGAGACACCUACAAGUGAAAGGGCUUUACUAGGGGUGUAUAUCGGUUCGAAACAAAUACAAUUUCGCCAAGCCGCAUCCAAUCCAAUAUAGAUUGGAUUAUGAUUUUUCCAAUCCAAUCCAAUCACAUUAAAGGUUUAAAUUCAAUCUAAUGUGAUCCAAUUGAUACAGGAUAGGGUGAUCAGUUUUCAUAAUGCAAAAAGAUAAUAAUGAAAUGUGAAACAUUUAUCGUCAAGUUUAAUAUAAUCAAACAUUUUAAUAGACAUAAAUGUAAAAUAUAAAUGAAAGGUAUUUUAUCGAAUUGCCCUCUGAACUUGUAUCUAAUUAUGAAUUUACCCCCUGACCUAUUUUUUUAGAAAAUUGAGGACUCGAACUAACUUUUAUUCUCAAAGUUACCAUUGUCGUCUAAAUCGUCAACAUUUCAUCUAAUUUGCCAUUAAAUAUAAGGACAAAUUGGUUAUUUCAAAUGUUAAAAAUAAUUAAAUACUUUACAAUAAAAUAAUAUGACCUAAAAAAUGAAGAAAAACAAAUUAUUUUAUAAACAGAGGGGUGAGACCCACCCACCCCCUCCACCUCCGCCUCUCCCUUCUGCUCUCUCUCUCUCUCUCUCUCUCUCUCUCUCUCUCUCUCUGUGCGCGACCCAAGACCCAUUUGUGCCUCCCCAGCCAUAUCCACCCCUGUUAUCUCUUCGCACCUACCAACUCUGUGACCCUACAACCCUACAACCCAUUGGUGCAAUUUUCAUGGGUCUGUGAGAGAGAGAGUGAGAGAGAAGGGUUUGGGGAAGGGGCUCUAGGUUUCAAACAACCCAGAUUUGAAGUGGGGCGUGGAGGUUAGUUGGAGAUCAAGAGAGAAGGUGGCGAUGGUGGACAUUGGGUUGUGAUGUUGGUAGAGUUCGAAUCUAUGGCGGGGAAUGGGCUUGUCACUGCCUGCUCGGAUUUCAAUCGAGGAUUUGGGUAGAGAUAGAAGGUUUGACAAAAAAAAUUGAACAUGUUUCUAGAGAGAGAGCAUUGGAAUGGCUGAGUUGGGGAUGGGGAAUUAUUAUUCAGGGUCGAUGAGAUGAGAGGUUGGCUAUGCUGAUUAGGUGUGUAGAGUAAAAAAAUUUAGGGAGUAGAUAGAGAUAGUGUGAUGGUUGUGGGAGGGUAGGCUGCUGAUAGGGGAGGCGGCGGUGGGUAAGGGGGUGGUCUUGGGUCUGGGGUUGGGUUGCCAAAGGGGAUUCGGCGACAAUGGAGAUAUGGAUGGUCUUGGGUCUUGGGGUGGGUUUCGAAAGGGGAGACGACUACGGGUGAGGGGAGAUUUUUUUUCUCUCUCUCUCUUUCUCUCUCUCUCUCUCUCUCUCUCCUUUAAUUCUUUCCAAUGAUUUAACAUGAAAUUGAAUGAAAUGUUCCGAAUUUGGAUGACAUGAGGGAAUUUGGCUACAAGUUCAGGGGGUAAUUUGGCUAAAUACCCUAACUGAAAUGCUAGAUAAAAUAAUUUUAUUUUAUAAUAUAUUAAACAUAACUCCAUCAAAUUACUUAAAAUGUUCAUAACGUUCUUAACGAAAAUUACCUAAUUAGCAAAAUAAGCAUGAAACUAUCUAGAUUGGAUUGGAUUGGAUCCUCACAAGCAAAUAUGUCAUCUGAUCCAAUCAUGUCGGUUUUGAAAAUUAGGGAUCCAAUCUAAUCCACCAAAUCAUCGAACCAUAUUAAAAUUGGAUUGGAUCAGUCAAUUUGGGCGGAUUGGAUCUUGCACACCCCUAGGAUUUACCGCUAACAUCCACCCAGCCAUUAGAGCUGUCAAUGGAGCAAAUUUUUACCCGAAUCCGAUGAAAUUAAUAGGAAAUGGAUCUGAAGAUAUAAUAUGAUUAUGUUCCGAACCGGUUAACCUGUUAACUUGUUAAGUUAAUGGAAUGAAUAUGGAUUUGGCCUAAUCCAAUCCAAUAAUAAUCCAAUCUGAUUAAUAUAAUAUAUAUUUUUACUCAACAUAUAUACACUAAUAAUUAUUUUACUAUUUAUUUUUAUUUUCUUAAUUGAAAGGGCUGGAAAGCCCAAUAAGAGGACAAAUUAAUCCACAAGACACAAACGAGAAUGGACACAUGUGGGCAAUAUUUAUAAAAACAAAAAAAAAACAAAAGUGAGGUUCACUAAAAAAAAUUAAGACAACACACGGCUCCCUCUAGGGGUGUUUUCGGUUCAGUAACCGCAUCGAAACAAUGGAACCGACAACCGACCGAAAGGCCGCAGUAUGGCUAAAAUGCGAACCACCACCACACCGCCGUCAGCCGAUUACCGGUUAUUUCAGUUGUAGUUGUUUGGUGACAAUCGGUUGUUGUUUAACCGCAGUUUCACAAAGAGAGAGAGAGAGAGAGAGAGAGAGAGAGAGAGAGAGAGAGAGAGAGAGAGAGAGAGAGAGAGAGAGAGAGAGAGAGAGAAAGAGAGAGAGAGGUUGAAAGAGUAGAAGUUAGAGACAAAGUGUUAGGGUUCUCUUUCAACCUUAAACACCCCCCCCCCCCCCCCCCACAAAAACCCUUUACCCCCAUCUCCUCCAUUGCCUCUAUCACCGCCAGCUUGUCGCAGCCAGCCUAGUGCCGUUUCCACCACCUACUCUGUCGUCACUAUAUUAUUUUGAAAUUUCACAAUACAAGUUAGUUCUAAAACCCUAAGCCUAAAAUAAUGUUAUGUACGUUGUAUUUAAUUGAAUUGAAAAUGAAUUUAUGGGUUGAUUAUAUUGUUUUGAUUUAUUAGAUGAUUUAUUUUUUUGAUUUGUUGAUUAAUUGGUUAUAUUAGGUUGGUUUAUGAAAUUUUUUUGUGGUUAAUUCUUAAUUGGUAUAGAUAUAGUGUGUUCUAUAAUUUAUGUGAGUUAUUAUUUUGAUUAAUUUAUGUGUAGAAUUAUGGAACAAUUUUUUAAGAGAAAAUCAUCAUUUUCAUCGGUUAGUUCGGGGAAUGUGGGUAGUUCAAGAACUUCAAGUUCAAGACAAAGAGGGUUAGAUAAGGUUUUCUGGCUAAUCUUUAGGCAGACCUCGGACUAAGAAACCGUAUGAUUGAUUAUGAUACUAAUAUUAGAGAUGAGGUCCGAAGAGCAUAUCUACAAAAAGGACAUUUUCAACCAAGAGGUCAUGCCUUCCCAUAAACUAAUCAAGAAUUAAUCAAUGCUUCAUUCCCUAAUGGUUUGAUGAAUUUGAUUGACUAGAGUAUGGUGUAUCUAAAGAUGCUGCAUUUUGUCUUUAUUGCUAUCUCUUUAAAUCCAAUUUUGAACAAGUGGGUAGUGAAGCCUUCACUAGAGUAGGAUUUAAGAAUUGGAAAAAAAGGGAGAGAAAGAAUGAAGGUGCAUAUUGGACAGGUUGACAGUUUUCAUAAUAAAGCUAGAGAAGCUGCUACAAAUUUGAUGAAUCAAAAUACACAUAUUGAAAUGGCUGUGAGCAAACACUCCAAACAAGCUCGUAUGGCUUAUCCAGCAUGCUCAAUUGCAUCAAUCAAAUGCAUUAAGUUUUUGUUGCGACAAUAUCUUUCUUUUUGUGGCAAUGAUGAAAGUAUCACUUCAAGCAAUAGGGAAAAUUACUUGGAGCUAUUGCAAUUCCUUUCAGACAAUUAUGAGAAAGUUAAAGAAGUUGUGUUGGAAAAUGCUCUGGGGAAUCUCAAGUUAGUAGCUCCUUGCAUUCAAAAAGAUAUUGUCAAUUCAUGUGCCCUUGAAACACUUGAAGUUAUCAUGAGUGGUUUAAAUGAUAGAUUCUUUUCUAUAUUGGUGGAUGAAGUACGUGAUGUUUCAGUAAAAGAGCAAAUGGCUCCAGUGUUGCAUUAUGUGGACGACAAAGGGCAUGUAAUUGAAAGAUUUUUGGGGGACCAACAUGUUAUCGACACCAUUUCAAGUUCACUAAAGGAUGCCAUUGACACAUUCUUUUCUACCAAUAGUUUGAGCCUUUCCAAGUUACAGGGACAAGGUUGUGAUGGGGCUAAGCAAUAUGAGAGGUGAGUUGGAUGACCUUAAAACAUAGAUUUUGAGAGAACAACCUUGUGCAUAUUAUAUUUAUUGCUUUGAUCAUCAACUUCAACUAGCAGUUGUUGCCAUGACAAAGAAAAAUAUUGACAUUGCCUUUUUUUCACGACGGCUAAUAAUGUGGUCAACCAUGUUAGAGCAUCUUGUAAGCGGGCGUGAAGCACUUAGAGUGCAACUCUAAGAAGAGCUUGUGAUAGCUUUUGAAAAUGAUUGUUCUAUAACUGGGCGAGAUUUGCAUCAAGAAACAAGUCUUAAACGUGCCAGUGACAUACGAUGGAACUCACAUUAUGGUACCUUGAUUAGCAUGAUUUCUAUAUUUUUAUCCGUGAUUCAUGUGCUUCAAAUGAUUAUUGAUGAUAAUCUCAAUGAUAGUGACGGUGAAGAAAAUAAGUUAAUGAGAGAAAUGCUUACUUUUGAGUUUGUGUUUUACCUAUUCUUGAUGAAAGCAAUAUUGGGACUCACAAAUGAUGUGUCACAAGCAUUACAAAAAAAAGAUCAAGAAAUUGUGAAUGCAAUGGCUUUAGUGAAAUCAUGCAAGGAAAAGCUAUAUUGGAUAAGGAAUAAUGGGUUGAUGAGGUAUCUUCCGUUUGUAACAAACAUCAUAUUGUUAUUCCUAACAUGGAUGAGGAAUUCGUACUUCCACCAUGCCCUAACAUGGAUGUGGAUCUUUUUAUUUAUGUCAUUAAUGAGCAAAUUACGAGGUUAGAUAAUCGUUUUAAUGAGGUAAAUACUGAGUUGCUUGUUUGUUUAGCAUGUUUCAAGUCCGAAUGAUUUAUUUGUAGCUUUUGAUAAACAAAAGUUACUUCGCCUAGCUCAAUUUUAUCAUCAAGACUUUUUGGAAAGGGAUUUUUUGGCACUUGAAGAUCAACUUGAGCUUUAUAUUCAUCAUGUGCGUUUGAGUAGUGAUUUCUCUCAAUUACAAGGGAUUGGUGGCCUUAUGAAACAAAUGAUGGAGACAGGAUGCAUCGAUCAUUCAAUUAUGUGGAUUUGCUUAUUACGUUGGCUUUAGUUUUACCGGUUGCAACUGCUUUAGUCGAGAGGGCAUUUUCCGUCAUGAAUAUUAUAAAAGGUCCACUUCGGAACAAAAUGGGGGAUCAAUAAUUGAGUAAUAGCUUGCUUGUUUACAUUGAGAGGGAUCUUUUUGCUUAUAUUGAAAAUGAAGCUAUAAUGCUUCGUUUUCAAAAUAUAAAACCACGUCGUGGACAAUUGUAGCUUGUAAUGAUGUUUUUGACAUGAAUUAUGAAUGAAAGUACUAUUGUUUCAUUUCGAUGUUUUUUUUUGUGUGGAACUUUUACACUAUGAUCCUAUGAGGUAAGAUUCCUGGAUCUGUCAUUGGGAGUAGGUUUCAAACCCAAAACCUCCAACUUAGCAUGACAAGACCAAAACACUACUAUGUCAAACUAAGUUGUGAUAUUGGUCGAUCGAAAAUAUAUUUAACGGCUUAUAAGCCCAAAAAUAUAUAUAUAAAAAUCGGGUUAUAACUUAUAACUCAUAUCAGACCAAAAAAAAAAAAAAAAAAACUCAUAACUCAUAACCCUAAUUAUUAUUAUUCUUCUUCAUCAUCAAACCCCACCGCGGUUUCUUCUUCUUCUUCUUCUUCUCUCUUUCUCUCUCUCUCUCUCUCUCUCUCUCUCUCUCUCUCUCUCUCUGUAUUGUACAAAUAGCAACCUAAAAAUUAAGCAACUAUAUGCACAUUUUAACUCACAAGUGCACAAGAUCAGAUAAAUAGUAUAGAUAGCAAAUACGAGAUCAUGCCCAUGAGGAUGGGAUUAAUAUGUGUUUAAAAUUAAUUUCCCAGAACUACUAACUAAAUGGCACAAACUAAGAAUGCAAAAGUGAAAUAAAAUCCUAAAACACUUAUUACAAAACCCUAAGAUUUCUAAUCAAAGUUAAGGUGCAAUACACAAAGGCACUCUGUGUAGACAAGGUGUUCAAAAGGAUGAUUUUAAGAUGAUUUUGAAAACUGAAAAUUUCGAAACAAAAUAUUAAGAACAGCGCUUGAUUAAACAUAGAAUUGGAUUGAGGUCAAAACAAUGAGAAAACCAGUUAGGGAUUCGAUGUUCACCGCUAAUCUUCUUCCUUAAGCAAAUGACAUGCACAAUGCUACAAAACAGAUUUUAGAUGCUCAUGUUUGUCAACCUAAAGGCAUGAUAUCUCCUCUUUAAAUUAUUUAUUUUCCUAAGCAACAAGUUAGGCAUGGGUAUCUACGCUAACUCUUUUCAUUCUUAAAGUGUUUAGCAUGGUAUUUACUAAGUUGCACUUUAAGAACGCAUAACACAAUGGAAAUCGACAAACACACAACUCCUAGAACAUAGUAUCUAUUCUAGUUAUUCAUGAUGAUUAUUUUCAAGAACUUAUAACUAGUUCUUUUAUUACUCUCUCACAGGCACAAGACUCGGUCAUCUAAUUUACCUAUGUAACAAACUCAAUACACAACAUGCAUAUGGUGAUCAAGCAUAACAUAACGUAUGUAAAGAGUAAAAUAUAAUAUGAAAUUAAUCAAUUAAGCAUCACAAAAGUAGUUUAUGGCAAAGGCAUAUCAAAAUCCUUAAAGAAACAUGAUUAGGGCUUCAAUUGAGCCUUAACAAAAGUACUUACUACCAUAAUUUAAAUAGACAGCAAGAACAUACAAAACAAAAAAUAAAAAGAGGAAGAAGAUAGCUCUUUGAUGAUGUGUUGGACAGCCAGAGUUAUUGGAUGACACCUUGACAUUCCACCUUACUUCCUAAGCCUUUCAAACCUUGGAACCUUGAAGGAUGCAGGAGAAUGCGAUGGUGUGGCUGCCCUCUUCUUCUCCUUUUUCUUUUUUCUAUUUUUACUACUCAAAAAUCAGCUCCCCUCUCGAACAGCAGUCGCCCUUCCUUUUCUUUUCUUUUUUUUUUCUCAAAAAAGGUUUUGCUCAUUGUAUUCUCCACAUUUUUGCAACCCUACAUAUUUUUUUAUUCAGACAUAUAAACCCUGGGAAAUAGGAAUAUUCCUCAUUGGCCCAAUUGAUGUGAUUUGGGCCUCAAAACUUGGACUUCAUAAAAGAUUGCAGAUUCCCACGCAGCCCGAACUACUUGAACUUGGACUUCAUGACAGGACCCGACCCAAAUUCACUUUGGAAUCUGAGCCGAACCCUAUGCGUGUUCGACACCUAGCAGGUGCCGAUCACACUUGAUGAAAUUGCCCUUCUAACUAAAAUUUUAAAAAAUUCCAUAGGGUUUGACUUCUGCCGAAAAUUCAGCAAUGUCUCCCCUGUAAAUUGCUCGUUCCCAAACCUUUUCACCUGUAUAACAAGCAAUUUAAAUAUCCACAACCGUUCAGCAUGCACAAUAACAGAAUUCAUUUAACCAAUCCUCAAAUCUUUAUGGCCUUAGGCCUCUUUAAAUCAAAUAAAUCGUUCUGCCAACUGAAACUGAUCCUAACUUUUGGAACAACAUGAAUACGUUAACAUAUUUUAAAAUAACUUAACUAAACAGCUUUUCAAUCACUUGGUCUCGCGGCUGCACCUAUUAACUCUAGGUUGCCUACGUACCCUUAACUAGGGAUCAAGCCACACGUAGUUCUUUCUCUUUGUUUUAUUGACAAGUUAUGUAUUCAACUUUUAUGUUUACCACCUGUAUUGCAAAAUCAAAUAUGAAAAGAAAUUAAAAAGGAAAAUAAAAUAAUGAGAGGAGAAUAACUUUUAAAUUGGAAAAGAAACACAAGGAGAACAAAACGGUAUAUAAAAUCAAAUAACGACAUGGUAAAAUAAAACUUCACUUAAGAAAAUAAUCGUGAAUUAUACAAAAUUCUUAAAACUUAGAACACUCUUAAUCAUUGUCCCUUAAGUAGGAAAACAUAUAUUAAAACCUUCACCCAUAAAUACCAAGAUAAAAUCCUCAAUUUCUAGUUUAAAACAUCUCAAAACUUAAAAACUCUCCAUCUAGGCGUACCCCCAUUCGUAAUCCGUCAAUUUUAGUAAUGUACCGUCAAUUCCAUGAAUUUCUAUUUAUUUUUCACAUUAUACCGUCAAUUCCUUGUGUCUCAUAAUGUGACACAUUCUUGUAGGCCUCGGUAACACAAAAUCAACCCAAACCGCACUCCUCACAGAACUCGGGGGACAUGUAGUCAGCCCAAGAACGCACAUCCUCACUCCACAUGGUUCAAGCGUCCCCGAAACUCGUGGGGCAUUGUCAUAAAAUGCAAACUAUUUCAAAGGCAACUAGGGGGCCACUCCCGUGGUGGGUUUGAAAACCAUAUUCCAAAACUUAUCAUAAAGUUUUCCAAAAUCAGUUCUCAACUACAUUUAAAAUAUGUACCACAUUCUGUUAAGAACUAGUGUCCAUGAUUCAUUAUUUUGAAGCCACAGAGUAAGUAUAUAUAUACAGUCCUGAUCUCUUGGACUACAGGGUCCAAGAGAUUUAUGGUCACUCACUGUUGGAUGUAAAUUCAACGGUUCACUCACUCUUGCACUCCUUUUAAAAAACUUUUUUGAACCAUUGGAUUAAUAUCCAACGGUGGGUGACCACAAUCUUUUGGACUCCUGUGGUCCAAGAGAUCGGCACUGUAUAUAUAUAUAUAUAUAUAUUUUCAACAUAUAAUAAGAUAUUUAAUUAACAUCUCGUCCACACCAAAAUUCAGUUAAUAAGCAGUUCCCAAUUUUACCCAUCCAAACAUAGUAUAAUACCCUUACAAAGUAAAAGUGGUUACCUAAUAAAUCAUAAAUAUUUGAAUAAUCCAAUAUCACCCAAUCAUAUACUUUAAUAAUACUCAUCAUAAUAAUAACUAAAUAAAUGACAAGAUAAUCUUCAAAUAUCAUAAUAACACCCAAGAAUAUCAUAAAACACUAUAACAUAAACUCAUAAUCCAAACAUAGUCAAAAUAGUCCACAAACUGUCAAACCUCGUUUACAUGGUCGUCUAGCACUUCCCGAGGGCGAAACUACCUCAGAAGACCUACAGUCAACUGAGGGUCAAACUUUCUAAAUUGGAUCAACGGGGCACGCGGGGCCCACGACCUCCGAUUUCUAAUUCGGAUCGCUCUCUAUCGCAUGGUCAGACGGUUACCGUUUUCCUAAACUUUGAAUUGUUGAAUCGGAGUAUACGGGACUCUGAUUCUCGAUCCGCGAAUUCUUACACGAUCGUAAAGGUGCCUAAAUUAACAUAUUUGAAAAUGAAGUUGAUCCAACGGUCCGAACAUAUCGAACCUGGAUAACGCCUAAUAUACGAUAUCCGAUCGACAGUCAAAUGGUAACCAAAUUGAAAUCCGAGCAUACCAUCGUGCUCGGGACUACGCGGGAUCAUUCUAGGAUAAAAAUUCAAUCUUGACACCCGGCCAACACGUUGUCACUGUCAGUGGUGUCUAGAGCAAUUUUUCGGCGAUCGGAAAACUCCAAAUUGUCGGCCAAUAAUCAUACUUACAUAUCAAGCACAUCAAUGGGAGUAACUUUAUACCUUGGCUCGAAGAUCAAUUCCACCGUUAAAGUCCUCAAACAAACGAUUUUUUCUCUUGAAAAACCUAGAAAAUUCUUAGUUUGAAUUCGUCAAUUCUACUUGAAAUUGGGUCGGGUCUUCGAGGGAAAUUACAAAGGGAAGGUAGAGGAGUGUUUUGGGUGGGAUUGCAUGGCUUUGGGUGGCCGGAGUUGGUUGGAAAACUCGUCGGAUUUCUUGUUUCGAAACAGCUCAUUUUGGGCUUGAUUUUGGCUCGGUUUUGGGCCGAAUUUCUGGUUUAAUUGCCUGGAAUCAAGGCUAGAUAUAGGUAUGUAUGGAAAUAGGAGAGAGAGAUGAAGAGUUUGCACAUGAAAAUAGGAGAGAGAUAUAGGUAUGAAGUUGGGUGCUCCAAGAGGACGCGAGAGAGAAGAAGAAAUCUGGAUUUUUUAAAAACUGAACUUCAAAAAAUUUACGAUUGUACCACUAGACUUCUUUUGAUCGUAACUUAUUCGUUAUAACUUCGAUUUGAGCCCACUACGUGUCUACGGACUCAUCUCGACGUGCUCUAUGCAACAGUACUUAUAAUCCCCAAAUUCCUUCCCAAACAAAAAGUCAACUUUUAAACCAUUAAAAUAUUCUCGGGGUAAAAAUGUAUUUUAUGUGAAUAAAUUAAUAAUUAAAUAUUAAUUUAGGCUUGGGUUAUUACACUUAAAAAAGGAUUGCAGAUUUCCGCGCAGUCCGAACUACCUGUACUAAAACCACCAUAACUUCCUCUAGAAAAAUGAUAUUCAUGAACCGUAAAAUUUCCCAGAAAAUAGACAUCCAUAGCUUUCCAAACAUAUAUGGUUCAGCUUCUGGUUCUUAGUGAGUCAAUACAGUAUAAUCCAUGAACUUGACUGAUCUGCACAGGCGUUUCAAACUCAACUUUCUAUUUUUAGCUUAUUUUCCACCAUUUGCUUGUGAUUACCUAAAAAAGUAAUAAAAGAAUGUAAAACCUAUAUAAAAGAGUAAAAUAAUGGUGUAAACAUGGAGAAAUAUCAUAGAUAAAUGUCGAAUUUAUGAGCACAUCACUCUCUCUCUCUCUCUCUCUCUCUCUCUCUCUCCUCUGGCUACAUAAAUAAUAGAUCUCAAUCGGUUGCGGUAGGCAACGGAAUUGGUAUCUGAGUACUAUAACCGAUACCAUCACUGGUUGGUCCGUUGUCUAACCGCAAUUACAUUGACUUUUUGGCUAACCACAGUUUGUCGACAGAAAAAAUUGGUUGGUAACUGGCGGUUUGCAGUGCAACUGCACAGCCCUAGCUCCUUCCCUUACUCUUUAUUUUAUUUAUUUUAGUUUCAUUUUUUUCAUUAGCAAGGGCAGAUGCACGUUGGAAAGAGAGGGUCGCACGACCCCUUGGAAUGUUGGAAAUAUCGAUGAAGGCUUCAUGAGUGACACUUUGGACAGCAGCGAAGCAACCCCUUGUGUGCACACAAGGUGUUCGAUGAAAGUCCCCUGCGGGGCUUGACUUGCACUGCAUGCGCGAGUCUAAUAUUUUUUUUAAAAGCCUAAACGAUGUCGUUUGAUCCUAUCACGGCCCGAUUCAAAAAUAAGGAAUUUUCCCGAAUCAUGGUGUGAGUCAUACCGUAGUCAUAAUAAUAAAAUCCUACAACCAUGAUAUGAUGAGAAAAAGAGCCACAAAUAAUACAAAUUUACUUAACAACACAAAAUUAGAGUUGCAGUUGCUCGUAGUUAAAUACACACUAAGAUCUUUAUCAAACGGUUGACUACUUACAAACAUUGAUUACACAAAUCAACAACAAAAGCCUAGCAGCUUAGUUGAAACCCGCUUCCUCAAACUUCGCCUUAAAUUUUGCACAAUCUAUUAGGGUAUAAGCAUUCUAAUGUCCAGUAGAAUACCGUCAAACCCCUCAAGGUUAGCUAUUACAAUUAAUCAAAGUAUCAUGCAUCAAACAACACAAGAUACAUAAUAUAUGCAACCAGACCAGAUAAGUAAAUUUGCAUAUACGGUGAUGCCAUAAACUCACUCCCUUCUAAUCCCACUAAUUCAUACCUUAAGGCAACAAGCAUGUUUGUCCCGUACAUGCGUUUUACCACUGUGGCUCCGAAUACCCUAAACCUAGCCCAUCUGUUCCUUAACCCAUUUUUCUUUUGUUUACGAAUUUCUCAACUUUCACUUUUCAUUAGAGGCUCUGCUCUCAUCAUCUCAAUAUAUUCAAGCCUUAUUCCCGUCACUUGAAUAUAUUCCACAUUUUUACUCAUAUAUAUCUAAGGCAUUCUCCCACCCCUUAGAUUUACCUUAAACGACACACACACCCCAAAUACUACUGUAUUUAUGAUGCAUAUGUAAUGCAGGGAAAACAUCAUUUAUCUAUGCAGAAUAAUAAUACAAAUAAUAACAAUAAUAUUUCAGGCUUAAUCAUAUGAAUAAUAAUAUUCACUCAACGUCAAAAAUAAUAUCCAUGGAGAAACAUCAAUAAUAAUAUUCACAAACAUCAAAUAAUAUUCACCGAGUAAAGCAACAAUAAUAUAAAUAUUUAUAGUACCAUAUAUAAGCACCAAGAUUAAAAGUGACAUAGCCGAAUCAUCGAGAAAUCAGAAAACCUUACCUCACGUCCGACUAGUUAGAUUACCGAAUUAUCCUUCCAAUUCUUCUAUUUCCACUCGAGCCUCAAUCGAACAAUAAGGACAAAUAAUAAUUAGUACUUUUGCUUAACAUAAUUUUUGGUCAAAUAGUUACAGGUCUCGGAUGGUAUUGAAACCAAUGUUAACGGACUUAAAAGGAAAAACCAAGCUGGGGAGGAUGACAAACGACACCAACAUUGCACCACAUGUGUUGAACACACAUAUGACAACUGCAUGAUACUAUUCAUCGUCUUCCUCGAAAGACCAUUUUUUCCCCUGUUUUCCAUUUUAUUUUUGGCAUAACUAACAAUAGUAAAACUUUGCAAGACUAUACUUAAAUUGAAGCUUGUAACCUUAGCUUUCUAUACAUAUAAAGAUUUGUGAAAAUGGAGCUCAGGUUAGUGAGAAAUUCGAACCCAAAGACAGACCCAAAAAAUCUGAAUUUUCGUUUUCCAGCUUCCUCUAUUUUGGCAAUUUUGAAAACCUAACUUCACUUCAAUAUUUGAUCCCCCAAAACUUAACCAAAAUCAGUGAAAUCAAAAAGGUUUUGUACUUUGCUAUUCCUAGUUUCCAAAACAUCAAAACCUUUCAAAAAUUACUUCACAGAUCAAAGGAACACAAGAGCCAAAGUAAGGUCCAUGAACUGAAAUUUCUAGAAAAAUACUAAGUUUCAGAAUUUUCUCAAAAGUCUCUUUCAACACAUCUCAAAUACCAUCCUUAAGGCUCGAAAUCAUACUCCAACAUCAUAUCCUUGGCCAAAGCUUCCUAAAAACAAGAUUUGGAUCUAAAGUUUGAACAACCAAACCCAAACAUUUAUUAGCACACCCAAAAUCUGAAAAUCUUGAUUUCAAAAUUCUUCUUUUGAUUUUCUUAUGCCUUAAAAGGUUCAUAAAUCAUUCUCCAACUCAAAUACAACUACAAAUCUACUCAAACAAUUAAUUAUACAAAAACUCAAGAAUUGAAAAUGAACUUAGAACAAGAAUCCCACCUUUCAUCCUUCCAAUUGCUUUAACACUUAACCAUUUUCUUUUCUACCUAUCACAUUUCUUUCUUAAUUCUCUCAUGGAUGUAAUAGUAAUAACCUCCAUCUUUUUCUUCUUCUUCUUCUUCUUCUUCUCUCUCUCUCUCUCUCUCUCUCUCUCUCUCGCCAACAACUCACCUUCCUUAGCUGUAGAAAAAAUUCAGCCUCAUUAAGGAAGAUACCUUAGCCUUGGUGAGUCAUAACUUUAGGUUAGGUGACUCACUACUUUAGACUAGAUGACUCACCACUUUAGACUAGAUGACUCACCACUUUAAACUAGGUGACUCAUCCUUUCAUAAUGGUGGACUUGAAAGCUUGAGGCAAGGGGGAAGAAUGGGAGGGUGGGCUGAUGCCCUCCAAGUGACGGCUCUCCACCGGCAUGGACGUNNNNNNNNNNNNNNNNNNNNNNNNNNNNNNNNNNNNNNNNNNNNNNNNNNNNNNNNNNNNNNNNNNNNNNNNNNNNNNNNNNNNNNNNNNNNNNNNNNNNGGGGGCUAUAAGGGGAUUUUGGGAAUUUUGCACUUAGGGGUAUUUUGGUCAUUUUAGCCCAAAACCCAAAAACAAUUUCCUAUGUGUUUGUUAAGUCGACUACUAUCAUACCACCUAAGAAUCAUAAUGGUCUCACCUCAAUUUCUUAAAUAUCCUUUGAAAAAUUCACAAAAUGUUAUAUAAGGACAUUUUUAUCCAACUUGAAUUACACACUUAAUCCAAUAGUCUCAAUCAAAAAUCACUUGAUAAAAUACCCAUAAUCAUUCUUCAUUAUAAUAUUAUUUUUCACUGAAAUACGAAAGUCCACUUUUUUUUUUUUUUCGGGGUAUUACAGAUCCAAGGCUAUUCAAUUUCUUUUAAUUGACCUAGCCUGAAAAGUAUGUCGUUUUGGGCCAAGUUUUAAGAAAAUAAAAAUAUCAUCCCUCCCCGUCCCUGUACCUGACUUCAGUAAAACCCCUUUUCAUUCCCAAAUCAAUAUCUCACCUUUCCAAACCCUAAGAGCCCCAAACCUCCCAACCUUCACCACAACCUCUUCGUUGGCAGCUACCACCACCACCUUGUGCCGCCACUCACAGCCUAAUGUUUCAACAAGUGAGCAAAAUUGAUAUUUAUAAAUAAUGAUAAUAUUAGUUGAUUGAUUUUUUUUUUUUAAAUUUUAUGAAAUGAAAUCUAUAGGUAUGAUAAUAUUGAUUGGUUGAGUUUAUAAUUGAUUGAUAAUCAUAUUAUUGAUAAUGUUUUGUUUUGAUUGGUAUGAUAAUAUUGACAUUUUCAUAGUUAUAUGAUAAUUUGGAUAAAAAAUCAUUGAUAGAUUGCAUUAAUUGAUGUGUAGAAUUAUGGAACGAUUCUUUAAAAGAAAAUUAUUUGUGGAUAGUCCUUCUCUGUCUAGCUAAUUUAGGUAGUUCAAGUGCAAGACCGAUUUAGAUAGAUAAGUUAUUGGCUAAUGUUCAGAUAGACCCUGGACUAAGAACUCGAAUGACGGAUUAUAGUCCUAAUAUUCAAAUGGACAAUUGUAACUUGUAUUGUUGGUUUUGUCAUGAAUUAUAAAUAGAAAUACUAUCUUUCUAUCUUUUUUAGUGUUAUUUUCUUCAUAGAUAAAUUUUGAAACUUUUACACUAUGACCCCUUGGCCCGAAAAUCCUAGAUCCACCACUGAAUGUAGCCCAUGUUUCUCAAUCUACUCUCUCCUCGAUUACUCAUCAUCGUCUUCCCCUCUCCUUCUCUCAGACCUCAUCUUUUUAUUUUUAUUUUGGGUAAGGCAGACCACAUCUUCUUCCUCUCUCAUUCACUCAAAUACUCUUUCUUUCUUUUUUCUUCUUAUUCUUCUUCUCACCUUUUCCUAUCUUCUAUCUCUUCUCUGUCUCAUUCUUCUCUCUCAUCUCUCCUAUAUCCUCUAUAUAGUUGUUGUUUUCAUUUUUUUAAGGAUAUGAUUUUGGUUCUCCAACACAAGAAAUGCAAGAGGAAGAUGAUAUAUAUUUUGUGUUAGUUUUGUUAAUUUAUGAGAUAAAAGAAUUCAAAUUAGAUUAUUGAAUCCAAUAUUCGAUAAUCCAAGAAUUUGGAUGUGAAUAAAAAAACUAUUCUAACAUGGAUCCAAUUCUGAAGGAUUCGUCAGAUUAUUGGAUCAGAUUGGGUUUAUUUAUUUUUUUUGAGAAUUAAAUCAAGUAUAAGUUUUUUCCGUUCCAUAUCCGACCCGGUGACAACUCUACCGGCCAUAAAAGCUAAAGUAUCUCUAGAAGAAACCUACAUGAUCUCAUAGCACCAAAAAAGUUAAAACAAAGGCGUCUGCGUCUUGUGUGGGACAUUUGUUUUUUGUUUUUGGGUCGGAGUGAGGAACAUUUGUUUAUGUAGAAAAAUAAAACCUCCCACAGACAAAAAAGUAGGCCUCAUCAUUUGGCAUGCGGGUUCAUGGGCCGAUGGGGGCCCGCCCGGCCCAUCGACAAAAAGCCCGGCAUGUCUUGGGCCGUGCUAGGCUUGGGCUUGGGUGUCUGAAGCCCGACCCGACCCAUAGGCUCGGCCCGAUUAAGCCCAAGAAAGCCCGACCCGGCCUGCCCACAAAAGCCCGGUCCAUUAGGCCCGCAUACAUAUAUAAUUAUGUAUAAAUAAGAAUUUAGGUUUAGGAUUAUAUCACUUAAAUCAUAUAUAUAAUUUGUUUCAUUUCAUUUACUUUUCUUUACUCAUUCCUAGUUUAUAAUUGGAUGAUUGGCACAUUAAUUUGUGUCAAUUAUUAAUUCAACAAUUAUAUAUAUACAUAUAUACAGUCCCGAUCUCUUGGACCACAGGAGUCCAAGAGAUUUGUGGUCACUCACAGUUGGAUGUAAAUUCAACGGUUCACUCAAUCUUGAACUUCUUUUAAGAAACUUUUUUGAACCAUUAGAUUAAUAUCCAACGGUGAGUGACCACAAUCUCUUGGACUCCUAUGGUUCAAGAGAUCAGGACUGUACAUAUAUAUAUAUAUAUAUAUAUAUAAGAUGAACAACAUAUCACAUCACCAAAUAUAAUCAUAUCACGAAACAUAAUCGUACCACCAAAUAUAAUCAUGCUUUUCUUGAACACAUCACCAUAUAUUUGCAUAUUUAUUCAUACAAAUAUUUGCAUAUUUAUUCAUACCAUCCUUUAAAAAAAUAUUUUUUUAAUAGUUAUUAUUUUUUUAAAUUAUUUCUUAAAACGUAUUACGAUCUAAUUAUGUAAUAACCUCAAAAAUAAUACUUGAUUUAUUAUUUUUGUGAAAAAUCUUAUAAGUUGUGUGAUUUUAUUUGGUGUGUUAUGAAUUUGGUUUGAAGUGAAAAUAUUGGAAUUAAGUGAGUUUAAUCUCAAAUUUGGACUAAAAUGUCUUUAUGAUUAAGUUUAUGAUUUUUUUUUAAUGAAGUAGGGCCUGUUUAGGCCCGGCCAGUUGGGCUUAGCCCGAUGGGCUUUCUCAAGCUCAGCUCAUAGGUCGAGCUUGGGCUUUGAAAUUUCUAAAAAAAAAGGUCCGGCCCGGCUCGAUAUUUUCUCUCUCCUCUUUAAAGGCCGAUCUAACCCGACCCAAACUCAUUAAAUUUGAGCCGAACUAACCCGAUCCAGCCCAUUAACAAGCCCUACAAAGAAAGGCACACUUUUCACUGCAGAUAAAUAACAUAAAAUGAAGAAAUGGGACAUUUUUUUAUUCUUCGUCAGGAUGAAAAAGGAGGGUAGCGGAGUUUGAUAAUCACAUGUUUGGAUUUGGAGGGUGAUGCUUCGAAUGUAUAAAAAGCAGCCUCCCCAGACCACGUUGUGUUGCGUGGGGCCCAUCGACACCGAAGCAAACUUAACAUAUUCCGACGAACCCGCACCCAACGCAUGUCCUUUCUUACAGGAGCCCCUCUGUCCCUGUCCUUGCGACCUUGUCCUCUUUCGUGUUGCCCGCCCAACCAAUACAUAUAUUUUUUAUUUUCUAUUUGUCUCUGUACUCUUUAUUUGCCCUUGAAACAAAGUCGUUUUGAUGGAGCAUGACGUAAGAUUGAAAACUAUCCGACGCUUCAGAUUUGACCUGUAGAUUUUCGGCUCCUCAACAACGAGUCCCACGUUUCUGCAUAGCAUGUGAUCCUCACGCUCUGCUCUCGUGUCUGUCUGUGUAUGGUUAGAAAAGAAAAGAAAAAGUUGCCAAACUCUAUUUGGUCCUAGAUUCUGGGGUUUAUAGGAGUUUAGGCUGUUGGUUGGUUGGGUGGUUACUUUGCUUAGAUGUGGGCAUAAAUAUUAUUAGUGAACCAUAAAAACAUACCCAACGAACUGGUGGUCAAACUGAUAAAAAACCAAAUCAAAUCAGACAUACCUAACAUGAUCUGGUUUGGUUCGAUCACCACUGUAUAAUUUGAGAAAAAUAAUUUGGUUUGAACCGUGAAAAAUGAAUGCGUCUAAGAACUUUAAUAGAAAUAAAUUAAUACACAAAUAAAUACAAAGAUUUUCUAAGCGUAGAAAACCUAGAAAUGGGAAAUAAUUGCGGGCACUUUACCGAACAAUGAUCUUAAGUUCGAACUCUCAUAACACCUUAGUAGUGUAUGUGAGACACCUCAUCAUCCCUUUAUAGUUUAGACUAUUGAAUAUAUUUUUAAAAAAAUUGUGUUAACUAUAAACACAACUCAAAGGGAGAACUAAGUUGAAUCCUAUUUGUCAUAACUCAUUAGAAGUCAUUAUCUAUCACCAAUUCAUUGGAAGUCAUUAACAUUUCAGGUCACAAAGCUUAAAGACUCGAUUACAAUAGCCACACAGGCAACCAAUCACUUGAACCCAUAGUCAGACCCAAACAAAGACCCAAUACAAGUUUCAAUGGGAUACAAAAGAUAAUCACGCUACAAUACGCCCCCUGUUAAUGGGAUAAAAAAGAUAAUUAUGGCUAUGGUACUCCCAUAAUCACAGCUCUAAGGGCUUGAAUCUAGCAUCAAACCAAUGUCACAUGGCUUUACUCUGGCGACUUUUCACAAAAAGUUGAAAAAUGCACCAAGACACGGGUUGGAUAAACUAAAAACACACCAACAUAAAUAUCAAAGCAAAAAAAUCUCCCAAAGAGAGACCUAGAAAACAAACUUAAAACCUAAACAAAGACUAAAGCUCUCCUGAAGAGAGACCGUUUAGCAAUCUCACAAAGAAUUGUUGCACUUAUUAUAACUAAAACAACAAACAAAAAUAACGCCCUAUCUCGGAUCAGGCCCACAACAAACCAAGGGAGGAUGGAGAUGAACAAAUUCGCAUAGAUCUAAUAUAGAUCCAUCAAAUCAUUCCCAUCAUAACGUCAUCACCAAGACGACCAAGCAGCCACCAAACUAAGCCAAGACGGAGCGGCUAGAGGGGAUGGGCAAGGAGCAGAAGUGAAGAUGGGAUGGGAAGAUUUGGGAGGGUAAGGAAGGGAAGGAAAGGGGAGGAGGAGAGGGAUGGAGGCCACCGAUCCCCCAAAAGAGAUUGGUGGCUAAAACUUUUAUCUCUUUUAGGGUUUCUAAGAUUUUGCAUGACAUUUACAUAAACAAAAAAUUAUAUUGGUUCACAAUAUAGAAGUAAAUCGAAGGUAAUAAAUUCAUAUCAAACCUACAAACAAAUCGAACCUAUUAAAGAUUAUUUAGAUGAUGAAAAGAUAAUAGGUUUUUUUUAUGUGAAGAUAAGAAAGUUGUUAUUGACACUUCAAAAUAUUCAUCAUCUCUUCAUUAGUGCGCGAUCUGUAAUUUCCUACAUAAAUCCAUACCGGUGGCAGUUGACAAUUGGGUGCUACGCAUAAGUUAUUCUGACUCGAGAUUGUGAGUUUGCCCUAGCGCUAAUGGUGAGAGUAACAGAUCUCCCUCUAACCUUCUUUUCAUAAAAUUUAAAAUAUAAAAAAAAUUCGUCGUCCACUCCUUACUCUAUUAAUAAUUAUAUAUAAAAAAAUUAUAUGAUGACAGUUUACGAAUGCGAAUAUCAAAUUCCCAAAGAUAAAAUAGUGUAAUAUUGUUUUCUACUGUUCACCGUAACGUAGCUUUUUCUUUUUCAUAUGAAGUUUUUGACGAUUAUCAAAUAUUCAAAAGCAUAUCCUGUAAAAUGUUACAUUUGUGGAUGAUUUCCCGUCCCAGAGUCACCGUCCUAGAUGGAUACUGCCAUAGAUCUGAUAAAUAAUAACUCCACAGCUUUCUUGGGCGCGUCAAUUGGUGCGUGCAAGAUUCAGACUUCUGUUAUCUUUCUCAGCUGCAAAUAAAUAAAUAUGUUUAUUUAUUACCCUUUCAUCACCUUUCAUCACCUUCCAUUUCCUUUUCUUUACUCCAACUCCUCUCUCUCUCUCUCUCUCUCUCUGUGACCAAUUUCUCACUGUUUCUUCUUGUUUUCUGCUGCACAAUAGAAUCAAUUUCUGACUUUUUAUUCAUCAACCCAUCUCUCUGUUUCUCAAUCUUCGCUGUUUGAAGUCGUAUAUAUUGAUUAUGCACAAUUUUGGGGAUGAAUUCACAAUAGAAAGCUACAGAAUCCCAUGGCUUGUAUGGAUCCAGGUGAUGGUGAUGAUCCUCCUCCUCAUUCUUCUCUUCUGCUUCAGCAUCUUAGUCUUAGAUCUCGAUGACCACAGCAACACCACCACCACCAGCAACAACAAGCCUUCAUCUUCUUCCACUAGCCGCUUAGUUGCUGAUGAUUUUCCCAAGCACAACACCUCAACCACAGCUUUUACACACCGCUUACAAAAUACCCAGGUACCGAUUUCCUCACACCACUCUGUUUUCUUACUGUUUUACAUGAUUUCUCUCUCCUUUUUGCUUAUUGAUUUCGUUUGUAGCUAGAUGUGGAAUGUGUUUGGCAGCUAGGAAAAUGUGGAAAAGAAUCUAAGAAAGAAAGAAAGAAAGAAAUGAAUAAAUAGUUUCCUGAAUUCCCAAUCCUACUAAUUAUAUUUGUGUUCAUUUUGGUUUUAGUUGUUCUUGUUUCCAUUUUUUUUUUUUUAUACAAGCAAAGCAAUAGUGGGGAGGGGGAUUUCAACCCAUGACCGCUUUUAAUCGCUUGAGUUACAAUUGCUUUUGUUUUAAUUGUUUAAAGCAAAGCUACAAUGACUCGAAAUUUUUUUCCCUUUUUUUCGAUGUCUGGGUCAUCUUUGGAAGGCGGGGAUGGGGGAUUGGUGGGGUUUGGGGUUUAUGGUUGUGGGUUCAGUAGCAUUUCCUUACCCACUUUAAAUUUGUUUGUAGAAGUUCUUGCCCAUUGACCUAAUAUCAAUUGUGCAAUAAUUGCCUAAUUAGGACCCUGCACUUUUUUCUUUACAUAUUUCAUCUAUAACGGAAUUAUUUGCCCAUAAUUUGUCAAAAAUAAAAGGUAAAGAGAACCUCCCUCUAACGUUGUGGAAGAUGUUGAAGAAAAUAAACUCUCACAUCAGAAACUUGACUAAAUAAAUUACAACAUAUAAUGAAUUGGGGUGCCUUUUUUGUUUCUUUUGUUGAACAACUGGAACGCAUGCUUUCCGUCUUCAAGUCUGAGAGAAGUGCUUUUGGUGGAAAUUCCAUUUUGUGCAAAUUGAGUGAUUUUGUGGUAAAACCCUUGUACCAAUUAACAUACUCCAAAGUCCAAAUGUUUUUUUCUUUUUCUGGUAGAACCCUUAGAUUUUCUCAUCUUUAAUUUGAAAUACCCUCGUUGCCCUUGUUUAGAAAAAAAAAAACCACAUUACCUUUUCAUUCUAAAAUUGCUUUAACCUCAUUUGUAUUAUUUUUAUUUUUAUUCUAGGCCAAUAGAAAAUUUCAUAUGACAAUGUUUUGUUCAUUGUUUUUGCUGUCCAGUUAAGCAUGUUUAAUGAUAACACCUGCUGUUGUAAUUAGAAUUAGGCAAUGUAUAAUUAUACGUACACAAAUGUGAGCCUGUAAGAUCUUGGCAGGUAGAAGAAAGCAUAAAAGGGGAGAUAGUAGCAAGCACAACAAGUAGAAUAAUGAGAGGAGAGGACUUGUUAGAAAUGGAGGCCCCUACAGCAUUCCAUCUAUAUUUCCACCCUUGCUAUUAUUUUAGGCUGGCCAGACUUGCAUUUCUUAAAUGUCUGGGCUUGGACUUUGCCUCUGAGAGUUCUUCAACCCCACAAAGAGGAAAAAGAAGAGAAAGUUGACGUGAAUUCUCCUCCCAAGGGUUGCCUAGUUUAGGUUGUAACUUGUAAGGGGUGAAGCAAAGAUCACCAACAAGUACACUCGUAGCAGAAACCAAUUAUGGACUCGUGGGGUGUGAGAAAAUAUUGUAUAGUACUGGAAUACGGCAAGGUGAUAUAAGGUGUAGGAGCUCAUCUCCAAGCCCGGUACUGUUCUGCAGCACCAAUUUAUUGACCACAUUGUAAAAAUACCACAUUGAUUGAGAAUGGUAUUUGAGUGAUUGUAGGAGAUUGUAGGAGAGGACCAUUGAACCAAGGACUCAGACAUUGUUUGAAAAGAAAAUUUAGUUGUAUUUUACCAUAUAAAUCUGCAAUGAAAAUGAUUUUAGUUACGGUAGUAUUAGAGUUUACUUUUGAAUUUGCACUAACAUUAGGUGUACCUAAUUUGGAUCCUAAUUGUGGAACCCAAGAACUAAUCUUUUGAAAUUUACAUGCACUAACAUCAUGCACAUGUUGUAAGAGUUUUCGGGUUCGAUUCAUUAGUAUAUAUGGUCAUGUUGUGUGCUGUUCAUGGGUAGACACAUGAUAUAUGAAUAAGUUAAAUACUAUUUUCCACCUUAAAGAAAAUUGAAGAGAGAUGUCAUCUCAAUUUAUUGAAAUCCAUGGGAGUGGUUGAGGAUGUCUAGUAUGUGGGCCUGAAUCAAACAAAACUCCGAAUUAAAAAAUAAAAGUGAUUGAUGUGAAAUUAGUUGCAUAUGUUGCCCAUUAAUGGAUGGCCUCAUGUUAGGGAGAAUGUUGAAGAAUAUGAAGUUACAUAUCGAAAAAUUAAUAAAAUAUAAUAAAUAGUUCCACUACUAAUAACAUCGAGAUUUUUUGUAUAAAACCUCACAUCGUAUAUGUGGGUUAUUAAGUUGGAAAUAAUAUCAAUGUUACUAAUAGUAAGUCGUGGAUCCAUCCCUCUGAAAUCUUAACAGGCGUAAAGAAUUGUAAUUUCUUUUAUUUCUUCUUUUUUCGAAAGUUUUUUUUUAAAAUUAUUUGAAAACUAUUGCAAUACCUUUACCUAGGGUUUGUCACGGGCCGAGCCAGUCAGAAACUUUUUUGUUCAGGUCGAGUUUUACAUAUUUUUUUAAAAUUUUUCGAGCAAGGCUAUGGGCAGGCCCAGACGGGAAUUGAAGAGGAGAAAUUGAUAUUUCCAUUGUUUGGCAACUUAAACAUGAAAAAUCUUGAAAAUUAGGGAUCAAGAUUCCUUAAUUUAAUUUCCACCAAAAUAUUCAUUAUUUUGCAAUUUCUAUUGAAUAUGAAUUUGUUUUCACUAUCAUUUAUGUCAUUCACAAAAUUUGACAUACAUAAAUUCAAACACUGAAAUUUUUAAUUGACAGAAAUUUAAACGACAGAUAUCUAAGUUUCUCAUUUAAUAAUUCUAUGCAAUUUUCAAUUCCUUCGUCCAAACAGAAGGUUAGAGUUAGGGGUGGGCGCGGUCCGGUUCGGUCCGGUUCUCACCUCAAACCGGAACCGAAACCGGUAUUAUUUAACUGGUUCGGUUAGGUCCGAUUUAGGCAAAAAAAAUUUUGAAAACCGGCCGGUUCGGUUCUAACCGGUUCUGGUCCGGUUCUGACCGGUUUCGGUUUUGAACUGGAUUAUUAAUUUAUUUAAUAAAAAAAUUAUAAUAAAUAACUUAUUUUUUUAGCUUAAAAAUGAACAAAUAAUCCAAUUCAUACAUUUAGAAAUUUUUUGAAAUUAAACUUGGAAAAUUAGUGAUUAUAGAAGUUAAAAAAUGGCAUUAGAUUUUAAAAUUUUGUAAAAAUAUAAAUAUAAAAUAUAUGACCGGUCCGGUUCGGUCCGGUCCGGUGCGGAGAGAUGUAAAACUAGAACCGGAACCGGUUGGAACCGGUUCGGUCCGGUUUCGGUCCGGUUUGUUGACUUUUUUGGUCAACAGGUUUUUUUUCCGGUUUUUUUUCACCGGUUAGGUUCGGUGUUCCGGUUUUCCAGUCCCGAUGCCCACCCCUAGUUAGAGUAGUCAUGUGAUCUCUCUCUCUCUCUCUCUCUCUCUCUCUCUCUCUCUCUCUCUCUCCAACCCUAACUGCCCUUCCCCCAAAACUUUUCUUAGCGUCGCAGCCCCGUUUGAGUUGAGAGAAGGUCAUUAUUCCUCCUCCCCUCUCCUCUAUUUCCUUCUUUGCUUUCUUGCUCCCAUGUCAGCUAAUAUUCUAUCUCUCUCCUAUGUGAGAGUUUUAUUUUGUUGUUUUUGUUUUUUCAUAGUUGUCCACCCUCUAUUUUCCCUCAAUGACAACCCCACUAUUUUAUUUUGUUGUUUUUGUUUUUUCAUGGUUGUCCAUCUUGUUUUCCCUCAGUCACAACCCCACUGUCACAUCCAUGCCUUUGUCCUUCCCCUAGCUAUUGAGUGUUCAACUGACUUCUCCUCCCUUGUGCUUGUGUCUCUCAAGACUAAUGUUUGUGAGAUGGCUUCUUGGUUUUGGGAGUGUGGGAUCUUCUUAGAUCCAUCAUUUGACCAUAUGAGUAUGAUGCGGCUUUUGCUUCUUCCCCAUUCUCAUUCGUCAGUCUCUUCGGGUGUCUUCACAAACUUUUGUUCUAGUGGUCGUGGUGCUUAUCACGGCGGCAGUGAUGGCGGCAACGUUGACGGUGACAACUCAUGGUUAAAGUUAACCUUGUUAGAUAGGGUUCGGGUUUAUAGUGUUGUUGGGCUUUUGUUUGUGGGCUUAAUUUAGUUUAUUUUGUUUUGUUUUAGUUUUAAUGAUGUUGGGCCUGGGAUGUUAUGAUUAUUAUUAUUGGGCCUUUUGUAAUGUUCUGUUUCUUAUUCAUGGAACAUAUCUUGACCAGGGAAAAAAAAAAAAAAGUAGUCAUAUGAUAAAUCAUAAAUUUUGAAAAAUCGAGAUGAUAUUUUUGAAGUUUUUCUUUAAGUUGGCAAAUUGAAAUUGAUGUAUUAACUUUUGAUGAUGUUUCUAAAUUUUCCCACAUAAAAAGGAGCAAAAACCCGAUUUAAAAGAAAGACAAAAGAAGGGAAAUUCACAAGUCAAAAGACUCUCACUCAUUCUUAGCACUAAAACACAGUGGCAGGUGUCUCUUGCGAAGUACUUUGUUUCUUUUUGUGUUUCGCCGACAACAUAAGGUGUCAGGUGAAAUAACUGCACCAAACCACCGAUCACCAAAACAGGCAAACUAAUUGAACAACAAGAAGAAGAAGAAGAAGUAAACAAAAGAAGCAGAAACAGAGGCAAGAAAACCAAAAGGAAAUUCAUCAGAAUAUGGAAAGUUCAGCAACUGAGGAGCAGCAGAGGGAAGGACCCCGUUUCAACAGCCCCUGCACUUUCUUUGAACACGUCAUCAUGGCUUGCCUCGACUGUUUGGGACUUCAUGAUGAUCAUAAUCAACACCCUCCUCCUCUACAGACCGAAAGAGAAAUGAAAUUUAAUGUAAUAUACCAAUCUCUCUCUCUCUCUCUCUCUCUCUCUCUCUCUCGUUAAUAGUUUGUUUUGCAAUCCUUUCUUUUUGUAUGUAUGGGCCUGGCUGUAUGUAUUUAUGUAUGUAAUGCAGGAAGAGACAAUUAUGAUGAUGGCUACAAGAUCAAGGAAGGCGACUAAACCACCUAUAAGCUCUGGUCCAGGUGGUCAGAUUAACUAUUCUUCAUCUGUUUCUUCCUCCUAAACUACUUCAAUCACAGCUCUAGCUCAACACAGACAUUCCACAAACCUAGCAUGGCUUCUACAGCCUUUUUCUCUUUUUCUUUCCAAGUUUUCUCUAGGUUUGUACAUUUGUAAGAUCUAUUUCUAAUCAAGUAGAACUGAUGAGGACAUUAAUGUACAGUUAUGGAUCUAUUAUCCAACUAAUGGAAGUCUCUUGUUGGUUUCUUUGCUCUAACAAAAUGUAAAUUGCUCUCCCUUUUUUGGGUUCUUUUGUCUGUGAUUGAUCAGGAGCUCUUCCUACUUCACUUUUUAGUAACGCGCUUUCCUUGUUCAUGUUCUUAACUUCCUCUUCUGUCUUCUUUGUGCUUUCUCAACUGUGAUUUAUGAUAAUUUAAAGAGCGCUGUUUGGGUCCUUAAAACUUAAGACGAGCUCCUCCUCAUAAUAAAUGGGAUUUCCACACUUGUUCAACAACAAUUUGUUCAUAAUAUUUGAGUUAAGGUUUUGCUUCUCUAACAAAGUGGGGGAUCAAUGCCACUAACCCAAAUAGCUAUUGCCAUGAUAAUUUAAGUUUAUUACCAUUUUUAUAUAAAAAGCAAUGGUAUUGAUGGGUUUAGUCCAGUUCUAUACAGGAUGUCCAAUGUGUGAAUAUCAUUGUAAACAACAAAACAUACAAUGUAUUUUCGUUAAUAUUGAUAGAAUAUCGUAUGGCAUAUCGAUAAUUCAGUGUUUAAUUAAAAAUAGGAAGUCCUACAUAAAACAAUUUUGUAGAUUCGAGAUAUUCCCAGACAAUGUAUAAAAACAUGAUGUGUGUAUAUAAGUUGUCUGUAGAUAAUUUGUUUGCUUUGGAAAUUGAAACCCACCCAAACUUGUUGAAAGAAAAGAAAAAGCUUAGGAAAAAGUAAGGUUCCUCUAUAUAUAUUUAUAUAAAAAAAAGGAUUAGUUUGCAAUUUAAUAAUUUUUACUCAUCUCUUUUGUAAAAUAUUUAUUAGGUUAGCAAUUUUCAUCUCGUUUUGCCCGUACACAUUUCUUCCUUUGUUUUGUAUAUAUAUAUAUUUUAUACAAAUAAUAUUCUAAUUUAAUUUAAUCUAAAUUAUGAGGAGUGGGAUAAGGAACUCUAGUGAAGAGGAAAGAGUACAUCCACUCUAACCAACUUGACUAACUUCAUAUCUGCCUUUUAUUUUGUACUUUGAUUCCCCUUUUCUUUACUCAAUUACCAAAAUACAUAAAUAUACAAAAGAAUACGAACUGGUAAAACGUAAGCACACCAACAACAACAAAAAAACGUAAGCAUGAAAAUCUCUACCCUUUUGAGGCAGUAAAAUUGUGGUGGUGACAUCAAAGCAAUAGAAAUGAACAUUCCAAGAGGAAAAGAUAAUUAAAAAAUAUAUAAAAAAACAGAAAUGAAUAAGUGUCUAGCGGUCUUGAGGUGAAAGGGAGGUGGUACUUUUGUCAUGUUUUACUUGGUAUGGAGCUCUUAUCCCUCUUGCAAGCGAGAAUCUCAAUGUCCUUUACACUUUUCCAUCUAUCAAAAUCAGGGAAUCUCAAUGUCCUUUGCACUUUCCCUUCUAUCAAAAUCAGGGAGAAGGAGAGGGCCAGCAUGUGGCUACCAUUAGUUGCUGUCUGCAAAUCCGACCAUAAAUCAAUAGCAUCUGCUGCUACACUGCAACCUCUAAGUAAAAGAGAUUGAUUUUCUUUUCUAGUCUCUCAACACUCAAAUGAUGUGCCCAGGUCAUUAGGGUUGGGGCUCCGAAAGUUCGAUGUGGUUAACGGGUAGAGAUCUCUCCCGAACCGAUCCGUGCUCAGAUCUACUCACAUCCUUGAGCAAGUUUCUCAUAUUAGACCCUAUGUUAUUGCCCCAGGGAACCUUACUAAGGCUGUGGGUUUUCGCAGCUUUAAGGUUUUCAUUUUAUACUUGUAUCCACCACCAGUGAGUGAGGGUUCAGACCAAGGAAAGAAAGAAAAAAGUAGCUUCUCAGUUUUAUUUCUUUUUGCUUCUAAGAUAUAAAAUAAGUUUGGAUUCCUUCCCCAAAAGAAAAAUGAUAACAUCAGGUUUGUAGACACAUUACAGAAAUCAUGUGACCAUAAAUUUUGAAUUUGUCCGAUUUGGUUAGUGUGUUUUAAUCCGUUAAUCACACGUAGAGGCUCACACAUUAAAGUAGAUUAAUGUCAAAUUCAGCAAAAGAGACCAAGACUCAGGAAGAAAUUGUUCAAAUUCGAGGAAAACACUGGACACCCUGGUAUUAAACCCUAAUACAAGUACGUUUAUGUUCACCAAGUAUCAUGCAAGGGCCUCAAUAUAAAAAGAAAAUUCUCUAAGAGAACAUAAUUAAGCACCCUAAAUACAUAAUUAAAGAGAAAGCCAUUCAUUUAUUUCUACCGUAGCUCUUAUCCAAGAAGAGAACAUACAAAGAUGAAAAUCAGGACUGCCCAAUUUACCAUCCAAUCACAUUUUCUGCCCAUUUUUUUCCCACUUACCCUAAAGCAUUUAAUUAAUAUAUUUUCUUCCUAACUGUACCUGUGGUGCUCGGUUAUCCUCCUUCGCUUUUCAAUGACUUCCAAAUUUAUACCUGUUACUCCAUAAACUCCAAGCAAAGAACCUCAGUAUUCACAUAGCCAUAAACAGCAAUUUGGUCCAUUUGUUAGAUUCCAAGUGUAUUCAUACUCGUUAAUACCAUUCGUUGUCGUUCUUCUCAAACUCACCCAUCUUCCCCUAAAACUGAGUGUUAAUAGUCCUGCUAAAAUGGCAUACUAGGAUAUACGUUUAUCAACUGAAUUACUUGUUCUAAAUCCAACCAUGUUCAAUCCAACAAAAUGAUUAAACCUAGUUAUAGGCUUAUAGCUACGCAUUCAACUGUAUUUUCAAUAUAGUAUAUUAGUUCUAGCAUGAAUAUACAAUACACUUCAUAAGAGCAUAUGCCUAUAGUAGUAAUCUUUAAUGACUUGGUUCCAGAUAUAUAUUUACUGUUUAAUAGAUACCAGGUUAACAUCAAGCCACAGCCAGCUAAACAGAUUAUAACAUUGCACAACUUUAAUCAAAGCUGUAACGUAGUACGGGGGAAAAUUAAAAGCAGACGAUGUUAUUUGAUCAAGCAGAGGGCAUUACAGAGGCGUUCUCAUACAAAUCUACAAGAAACCAAUUACACUUCCAAGUGACAAAAAAAAGGAACAAGGCAAACCAAAGGAUAUCUAUCAUGAAGGCAACAUUCUGAAACGGACAACUGUGACUACAAAGUUCACCAUCCUAACUUAGAAUCAUUAAAUUGGGACUGAAACCUUUUUUUUUGAAGUUAUGUAUAUUCACAAAAAUUUGAUGUUGCUCACCCUGAAGCUCUUGUAUGGUUGUGAUCUACUCUACCGCUUAUUUCGACUGGUUAUAUAGUUGAGUGCCAGCCUAGAGAACCGGGUGAUAGUGAAAAACAUUUGCCACAGAGCACGGCCCUUCACAAUCCCCUCCCGUAUGCCUCUUGCAGUUCUAGCCAAAACUGGCCCUGGAACCUCAGUUUUCGGACUGGUUACCUCCUGCACCGAUGCUAAGCAAGUAAAGAUGAAUUUUACAUUCAUUGCUCCAAAACCUAAGUGAAAACUAAAGGUAAAACAACAAUAACCAAAAAAAGACUACAGAAGACAUGGAUAACCUGAUGGAGCCAUGUUUGUCAAGCGGCGCAACCUCUCCUCUGCCACGCGAACAGCUCGAGUGGAACUUCUAACACCCUGUGUAAUUUCCUGGCUGCACCACAAACUAAAUGAGUCAGCUGAUAAUGAGUUAAUUAAAGAUAUCUUCCAUUUAGCUUAAGACAAGCAUAUAAGAACUUUGAAAUGGUAAGCCAACCCAAGAUCACUGAGCUCCAUAGUGAGGUCACUGAUCUCCAUCCCGGAUAAACGAACAGCAGCCAUUGUGUCAGGAAGCUCUUCCCUCAUAACAUCCAUCAGCUUUUCCAGUGAUUGAGCUGCUCUCUUGAAAGCCUUUAGAAAACCACAUUGGAAAUUCACUUUACUAACAGCGAUUGCUCAAGAAAAACAUAGCCAAUUUCCAAUGCUGAUUAAAAUCAAGUAUUCAAGACUACAAACCAGAAGCGCGGGGAUUGCAGAGCAGAAGAGCCACGUCGCAGAAACUGCUGCCUAUUAGAAAAACCCAAAAACCAAAAUCAAAACUUGACUCAAUCGCAGAAACACACCACCAAUGUCUGUAAUUCUUUCAAAAAAUGUUAGCUGAGAUUGUUGGGUUUUGCUUUCAGAAUACCCUGAAGAAAAACCCAUCUUGAAGAAUCUAAUUUCCAAAGCAUAUUAAACUUCAAUCAGAAACAGAACUAUGCUUCCAAAAGCAUAAAAAGUAUAUUAAAAAUCUAGAGAGAGAGAGAGUUACGGCGCAAGCAACGACAUUGAGCAAGACGAUGUUGCGGUGGGUGAGGUUCCAGUGGGAGAGCUGAAGAAGUGAAGCCGAAGGUAAUGGAGAUCCCACACUUUCCGUGUAGUGCGAUGAAACUGACGGCUGAGAUGCUUCGUUAACACACUCAGACCGUACGGACACCGAGUUCACCCGUCGAGCCGGAAGUCUGAGAUGGUAGGGCAGACGGCCAGGCUUUUUGCUCCCCAGGAAGCUGUAGCUUUGCUUGAUUGUGGGUUUCACCUGCAAUUUCAGACCAGACAACAUUGCUUCCCUCUCUCCUUCUCUCUCUCUCUCUCUCUGGAGGAGCCUACGAGACUCGGUCAGUCGCCCCUCGCACUCUCCACCAGCAGCAAGCAGGCCUCAGCAGAGCAAACAAUUUGUGCGUCAUUUCUGGCUAAGCCGAAGGGCCUUUUUGUCAUUUCAUUGCUGUAAGAUUAUCAAUUGGGCUCUCUGUUUCUAUUAGGGGGUGGGCAUUCAAACCGACAAACCGAAAAGCUGAGCUGAACUGCACCGAAAAAAAAAUCAAGUUGACCAAAAAGUCAACAACCGGUUAAAAUCCGAAUUGGACCAAUUUGGACCGAUUUUGGUUCCGGUUCUGUCUUAAAAAAGAGACCGGGCCGAACCGAACCAGUCAAAUUAAAAUAUAUAUAAUUUCAAUAUUUAUUUAUGCUAUAUUUUUAAUCUUAUAACUAAUAUUUAUUCAAGUUCAAUUUCAAAACAUCUCUCUCUUCUAGCUUUAAUAUUUAUUUUUAUAUGAAAUUGAAUAAUUUAUUAAUUUUCAAGUCAAAAAAAUAAAAUUUCAGUUGAAAAUUGUAUUAAAAAAUAAUAAUUUUAAUAAUCCGGUUCAAAACUAAACCGGACAGGAAUCGGUUCAACCUGAAUCGGACAGUUUUUGAAUUUUUUUAAAUAAAAACUGAAUUGAAUCAAACCUAAUAAAUAAUAUCGGAUCAAUUCUAAUUAGAGACAAAAACUAAUCAAAACUGAACCUUGCCCGUCCCUAAUUUCUACCCAAUUUGCUGGAUUAAUCUUGGGCCUCAUGUUAUAGCGGUUUGGUUAUUGCCAAAAUGGCUAGAGAAACUGUCGGUGCAGUUCCGUUACAACACCGGUGCAGUUUCAUCGGUUUCCAGUUUUGAACUGGUUUUACAAUAUCUAAUAUAACAGCAUAUAUAUACAGUUAUUCUCUCAUUUAGAUGUCUGCAUGUUAUUAUCGUGUGGAUUAUAAACAUGAAGAAAAGAAAGGUUCGGUAGUAAAAAAAUCAUAACGUCCACAUGAUAAUAACGUUUAUACGUCUGCAUAUAUAUAUAUAUAUAUAUAUAUAUACAGUCUCGAUCUUUUGGACCACAAGAGUCCAAGAGAUUGUUGUCACACACCGUUGGAUAUUAAUUCAAUUGUUCAAAAAAGUUUCUUAAAAGGAGUUCAAGAGUGAGUGAACCGUUGAAUUUACAUCCAUCGGUGAGUGACCACAAAUCUCUUGAACCUCUGUAGUCUAAGAGAUCAAGACUGUAUAUAUAUAUAUACACACACACAUAUGCCAAAGGAUAAUCAGUUACUUUUUGUUUAUAAAUUACACAUGUUUAUUCUCAUUGCUGCAGAUAUUCUAGUAACAUGAAAAAUUACAAGCAUAUGGUUUUGAACCGGUUUAACAACUGAUAUUGUCAAACCCUAAAUUACAAGCAUUUAUUACUGUUUACUUCGAAAAGGACUCGUCGGCCAUUCGCGUGGCGUUUGGUCGUGGAGUUUGCUUGUUGCGAUUGCGAAGGCAUGUCACUAUUGACAGUGAAAAACUCCAACAGACUGAAAAUUUGUAUGACUGGAAAAGGCACACCAGUAUUGAGUUUAAUAAAUCGAUUGUGGAUGGGGCGGGGAAUUGACCCAAUACAGGUUCUUUUCUAUGCCUCAAUUAAGAGGACUUCAAUAUUCAUUUAGUGCAAAAAUGGUAACUAACAGAAGUUGAAACUGAACGGUAAUGGAAAUGACAGAAGUUUAUUGGAAUAUUUCUUUAUUCAGACAACUUGAAAGAAAAAGGAAAAUACAUAAACAACACAGCCUGAAAAUUUCUCUAUUCAGACUUGGUACAUAAAAUUAAAAUGGAGAUUGAAGAUUUCUCUAUUCAAUCUUGUACAAGAAAAAAAUCAUACCAGGAGUUGGUAGAGCCAAAUAAAGAAAGUUCCUCAGGAGUUUCAACUAGGAAUUCAGAGAAUGAAAAAGAAAGGCUGUUUCAGGCUUUUGAGUUGGGUUUAUAGAUGUUGAGUCUGGUUUUUAUUGGUUGAAUUGUGUGUGUUUUUGCUGAUGAUUUCUCCUUCAAUUUAUAGAGAAUGAGGUCAUUUAAGUGGACCGGCAGCCAAUUUGAAGUACCCACUUGCUAAUGGUUUUGGUGAGUAGGUUGCUGAAAAUACAAGCAAACCCCAAAAAGUUGCUAAGAGGCUUUGAUGAGAAAUGAUAGAAGUUGUCACUAUUAGACUUAAAGAAAUCCAAAGUAUUAGUCAAUUUGCCAUUGAUUGGUGAGUGACAGCCAAAAGUAGCUAAUUAAAAGAAAAAAAAAAUGGAGAGCUAAUGACCACCAUUUUUACUUCUUUAUUCAUUCCUUAAGCCCACUUGCAUAUUAUUUUAUUCUUCUUUCAACCUUGAUGUAGACUUUUCACGUGUAUGUUGAGCUUUGGCUUUGUUUUAAUAUUCUUCAUCACAGAGAAUAUUAAAUUGUUUCCAUCUACCACAACAUUAUUUUAUUCUUCUUUGAAUCAACUCACUUGUGAUGAAGUCCCUCCAUUGAUGAAGUGAAACUUUAUUUGCAGCCACUGAGUUUCUCUUCCGAACUUGCCUUGAUGCGUGAUAAAUUGGGAAUGCUAGGAUGAUCCAAUUGCUGCCAAUUUCGGAUAUGUUGUUCUCCACAUAAGUAGGAACAAUAUUCAUGAAGAACUUAAUUCCUUUUGAGCAAUAGAAAAUCUGGUUUUAGCAUGGUUACACAUGACUGGUCGUCAUAGACUGAUGUCACGAACAGAAAUCAUGAUUAACGCCCUGAAGAUUCAAUGCUUGUGCUAAGGACGCCAAAUUCAGAAAUGUUAUAGUAGACAUCCAAAUGAACAACUUUCAUGAAGAAGGAAUGUUCAUUUGAGGAUUGGAAGCUGACCCGAAUUGGGCCAUAAUUAGGCCCGAAUUGCCACUGUUAUCAGCUUUCAUUGUUGCUGGUAUGCUUCUGAUAAUUGAUGUCGUGAGGAUUCCACAUUUAUCCAAAUGAUCCCAAAUUUGGAUAUGUUGCAGUAGACAUUCUAAUGAAAAACGUUCAUGAAGAAAGACAAUUCAUUAGAGCAUUGGAAUUAGGCCCGAAUUGAUCCCUAUAAGCUUUUUGCUAACACUGUGCAUCUGGUGUUUUCAGCUCUUAAGAUUCCACAUUUGUCCGAAUAAACCCAAAUUUGGAUAUUUUGCAGUAGGCAUAGAGAUGAACAACUUUCAUGAGGAACGAAACUUGAUUUGGGCACUGGAGGUUGAAUUUUGGGCUCACUCCAUCUGACUGCAGCAAAGCACGUCUAGCCAUAUUUUGGCCAUUUUGAUGUUCAUGGAACAUUAUCCUCCAUUUUAGGCAAAAAUACAAUUUUUGGUACAAACAAUUACAUAUAUAUAUAUAUAUAUUAAAUCCACCAAUCCAGUCCGGCACGUGUUUGGAGGUGUAAAAACCGAGACCAAAACCAGUUGAACCGGUCUAGUUCGCUACGGUGCCAGUUUGUUGACUUUUUAGUCAACUCGGUUUUUCCCCCAAUAAAAAUAAUAACUUUGUACUCUUCAAUGUGUGAAUGGCACUUUUAAGUUGGCAACAAAAGCACCAUUUGUGACUGACUGCUUUAUCUUAACCAGUGCAGCAAUGUCCAAAUCAAUGAAUAAAAGGUUGUGCAGUUCGUUUGAGAGAGAGAGAGAGAGAGAGAGAGAGAGAGAGAGCCAAAAGAUUUUCCUUUCCAUUUACAUCUCAUAUUUACAGAAUAAUGCCCUCUAACUCCCUCUACAAAAUUCUUCACCAACCAUCCACCACUGAGUCUUUUCCACACCCCAACACUGUAACAUUGUAGAUCGAUUAUGUACACUAUAUAAUUCUAAAUGCAGAAAUUGGAAGUAAAUUAUCUUUUCUUUCCUCCUUCCCUCCCUUCUACUUUUUCUUCCUUUUUGUGCUCUGCCAUUUCACAAUUCUCUGUGGCUGACACUUGAGCAGCAGUGAGUGAUCAGUUGCUGACCAGCUCAAGGAUAAAUACAAGGAGACAAGAACCCAAACUAAAAGGAACAAACUAAAAAGCAAUGUUCUCAACUUUUCUCACUAAUCCGGACGACAUCCACAACUGUUGCAUUGCAAAAAAAGCAUCUGUGGGAAUUCAAAAGAUGCCUCGUUAUGCAGCCAUAACAAGACCUAUGCGAACAAGGUGAAAACUCGGCAUCUGCUUCACAGGCAUAACAAAUGCAGCACAUGUCAUCAUUCCCAUCUGUUUCUCCCCUGUAUAUCGUAUUUUCUUGUGAUUGGCUCUGGCUAAGGAGGCUAAGAAAAUUCUCUAACUGGGCAAGUUUUACAAGAUAAGCAUCGCCUCUAAAGGUUCCAGCCUGGAAAAUAAACAAACUACAGUAUAAACAAGAUGGUAAAAACAGCAAUUUGUAAAAUCCAAUGAAGAGCUUUUUCCUUUCUUUUGCCAUCUUUUUAUUCUCUUCUCUUGAGAGAGAAACUUACUGAAAAAUAAUUUGUUAUAUGGAAUUCGAUGUCAAGAACUCAGCUAUAUGAACCACCUAAAGACACAGCUACAAACCCCACCAAAAUCACGGAAGGAUGCAUACAUGUGAAAAGAUCUCACUAAUUGAGUUAAAUGCUUCACAGAAAUCGUGAACAAGUAGAAACCAGGUUACUGAUGUUAAUUAAUUGCAUGCACAGCUAGGACGGGACUAAUAAACUUGCUUUACAUUCACAAGAGAGAAAAAAUAAGUUCUAAAAUAUUUUUAAUUUUUGUUAGAUGAAAAGACUGCAUCUCUUCAGCCCACAGAGAGAGAGAGAGAGAGAGAGAGAGAGAGAGGCUAACCCAGUUGUAAUCCAAAAGGUAUUGGAAUCUGCAAUGAAAACUGUCAAGGCAACCCAUGCUUGCGAAGAUGCUCACUACAUCGUUGUGUUCCAUGCAUUCCAUCUGUUCACUAGCAUUUAACAAAUUCAAGAUAAUACCAACAAGAGGUGCCAAUAUCAUUCCUCGGUUUACUUUUUCUAAGGAUUGACCAUGUCUUCUCAGCGACCUGCAAAAUAGAAUGCCUUAAAUGAUAUAUGAAAAAGAAAAAUGUAAGAGAAUACAAUCAACCAACAGUGAGAAAGCUCGAUCAAAGUACAAAAGUCAAAGGAAAAGUGAAAAUUCCAAAACAAUUUGAAGACCGUCAUGGAUCAAAAGUAAAAUCAAGGAUUUUCCAUGGAACAGCUUGCCAUCAAUACCAAUCCCCACAACUUCAAAUAUGGAAUUCAAAGGAAUCAAUUAGUAAAUGAUAUCACAGAACUAUAAUGAAAAAAUACGAUCAACCAACAUUUAUCAAAUUUAAAAGGAGUGGGAAUAAAUGGUUCGAUCCUCUUAUUUUUAUUUUAUUUACAUGCAUAUGCCCCUCACAGUACAAUGCUGCAUGGCAGUUUACAGCACCAUCAUUAAAUCAAAUAAAAAAUAGAUAAAAAAGAUAAACAUAAAACAUAAAAACUAUGAAAAAUAAAGAGAACUUUUAUUUACACCCCAAAACCAAGCAUUGCUUAUGGUGAGAGCAAAGAUAAGUUCAUUAUUGGAGUGCAUCAACACAGAUAAAUUGGAAAGUAAUAGCCGUCCUUGUAUUUGCAGGCACAGAAUCUUACAAGUCAAAAAACUCAGCAUCUUCUGCUGAUGUUAUGUGGCUCAGAAUAAAGACUAUUAACUCAGUUAACCUUCGAAGGUUUGUUUCAGCUCCAGAUAGAAAUGCUCGAGGUAUCGCAUGGGUACAGAACUCCAAAACCCUUGCAAGGUUGCAUGAAAGAUCAAAUAUGACACUGCAUUUCUUUUGCUGGAACUCUAAUACCUGCAAGAGAUGUUUACUUCAAAAUUAAAAAAUUAAAAAUAAAAUAUGAUGAGGGAAAUACAAAAAAUUGGAAUGUAAAAUAGCCAAGUAAAAAUUUGCACUUUCCCAUGCAUAGUGUUUGAACUAUUACUGACUAUACCAGAGUCAAACAUGAGUAUCCUCAGUCUGGACCGACCUAGUUAACCGGGAACCGGCAGGGAAGCCAGAACAAUUUCACCUUAGAAGAGGACUUUCACUGAACUAGUUUGCUUUUGAUGAACCGGUCAGUUCGUUUUACUUUGAAACAUAUAUUGUUGUGACAAUAAAAGUGUGAAACCAAGUCAAAUUGGUUAAAUAUGAGGCCAUUUAUUACCAAGUCACUAACAUGAGGCCAUUUAUUACCAAGUCACUCCAAUAUCUUUUCACCAUUUCCUCUCAAAGUUCCCCACCCCCUGUUCUUUUUUUUUCCUUAAUAUUACUUCGUAAGUGCACCCUGUGUUCUUUUAGAUCCUCUCCCCAUGACAAUAGCACCCCCCACAGUGAAGUCCAAGCUCAUCUAUGCAUGACAGACAGCAUAAAGUUUGUGUGUGUACAUAUUUAUACAUAGAGAGAGAGAGAGAGAGAGAGAGAGAGAGAGAGAGAAUCUUUCUUCUCAAUAAAACCAAAAAGCUAGAGUUAUAUAAGUAGAAAACAGAGAUGAAACUAAUAAAGUAAAACACAAAUCAAAUACUAAUAAUAAUAAUAAUAUAUUACUGCAUGUCUGAAUAGGGAUAAAAUUAUCCACACCUGGUACUUCUCUUGCAUUUCUCUAACUGAAACUGAGAAUUCAGUCAUUGUCCAGCUGAGAGUGUUAAACAGGCGAUUGAGAAAAGCUGAGAACAACUCUUCAUCACUGACACAAGUUUCCCCUAACAAUCUCUGCAUGAAUUAAGAGGCCAGAGAAGAAUCAGAAGCUAUUCAAUGGUAACAAGAUAUACGAUGAAAAUUCUAAAGCAAAAUUAAAGAUCAUUCACCUGGAAGACAACAGAUGAUGACGACUCUCCAUGCUUUGAAGAACCAAAGCCAGAUCCCUUGCACAAACGCAGAAGAAUGUUUGUCACUGGGAUCCAGGAUCUAUUAUCAAAUGCUGACAGCAAUGCCUUUGGCAUCCUCUGUGUGGCUGCUUCAUUACUCUCAAAAAUGGCCAAAUAUUCUUUGUACUGUACCAAGACUGAGAUCGAUUGGAGAAGCAGGUCCCUUAGAUCAGCACUCGAUAUUCGAGGAUCAUUGAAGUGCGUGACCACAAAAGUUACCUGUGAAACAAGACACAGAUUCAGCAUUCCAAAUACAUUAUUUGAAUAUCAAGGGUAAAAAGAAACCCAAAAAAAAACUCAUAAUCUUCAUGAAUAAGCUGGUCAUGUUGGCCUGUCAAUGGAAAAAUCAGGGUCCAAAUUUCAGAGGAUCUACGCUAAAAAAGCUAAAGCACAUAAAAUAUGACAAAAUCAUUUUUUCCCUUAAUAAGCAUGUGUAAUAUAGCAAACUUCAGAGUUAAUAUUAUUUUUCAGGUAAAUCAAAACACAAAUUAUUUUGGUGCUCAAUUAUCACAUCUGAAAGGAAUAAUUUAUGUUCAUUACAGUGGAUCAUUUAUUUAUUUUUAAAGAAUUAUCAGUUUAAACAAUUAUCGUUUUUAAAUCCAAUAGCCAGUAAUCCAUCGACAAAUUAUAGGAGUACGUUUGUAUUUUUCAGUAACUGUCAUGUCAAAUUGUACACAGAGCAGAGCACAUAAUAGAAAGUAUGAAACACAAGGUUAAAAGAUAAAACAUACAAAUGAAGCAAGGCCUUGCUUGAUAAAUAUUGAUGAAGGUACAAAGGGAGGAUCACUUUUGCGCAACACAUGGAAGCAAUCAACCUGCAAGAAUAGUAGAGCAAUGAAUAAUUCCAAAUACAGAGUGCUUCAGAAAGCCUGGCUCAAUAUUUUUUGGUGGAAUGAAAGCCUGGCUCAAUAAGUCAUAGCAAUUUGUGGAUAUAUCUAGUAUUUCCAGAAACUCUAAGAGAGCAGAUGAACCUUUUUCUAUCCUUAUUUUCCUUUUUAUACUUGUCACGUAUAAAAGAUCAGAAGUUAACAAAUUUGUAGAAAUAUUUAAAGCUCUCUCUCAGAAUUUUUCCAAGCAAUUACAUAGCAUCCUAAUGUAAUUCCAUAACCACUCUCAAGGGAUAGUACAUACUGAGACCACCCAAUAUUUUUCUGGAGAUUAGUGACAUGCGAAUAUCAUCCUCAAAAAACCAUCAAAUGAAAAGAACUUAAGACAGGAAUAUUCUUAUUACAUGAUGCAAUAAAACAAGAGCAAACACAAGUAUUAAUGCUUACUAUAUGCAACAAAACAAGUGAAAACAUAAUCCUUCUCCUAUCAGAUGGGAAAAGCGCAAGCACUCAUACUCAAAUCAAUUUUACAUAAUUUUUUGACAAGGAUUCACUGCACAUCAAAUUUGUUCAAUAUAAGAAGAAUCAACUUACCAGAGCUUCCAGAUAAUACUCAGGGAUAUACAGGAACAGUAGAUCCACUUUGCUAAGAACCAGAAGCAACUGGACAGUCCACAUGCAUGUUGCAUACAUUCCUCUUUGCUUCCAUCGAGAAAUUAGAGUAAUACGGUACCUGUAAUCCAUGAAAGAGUGACCAAAGGAAACAUAGUAUGUAAAUGUAUGCAAAAAAACUAAACUAUGGAUAUAUAUACAGAAAUCUCCUAUGUGGAUGUCCGGAUGUUAUUAUAGUGCGGAUGCCAUGUCUUUUCUACUACCAUUCCCUACUUUUCUCCAUGUUUACAGUGGUAUCUGCACGAGACAUCCGGAUGCAAGAAUAAUAUAUAUAUAUAUAUAUAUAUAUAUAUACACCUUCCCAUUCUAUUGAGAGAUCCCUCAAAUAAAGACCCUUUAGGGUCCCAUAUGAAUUUAUUUCCAACGAACCAAACCAUCUAUUUGUUAAGUUGAGGGACACCUUGUACAAGGAGCUUCAAUUGAGGGAUCCCUCAAAUAAGGGGCACCGCUGUAGGGCCCACUCUGCAUUGUAUUUCACUAAUCCAAACUGUCUAUUUUUGUAAAUAUUCAGUCAAAGAUCAUCUCUACAAAAAAUCAUUUGAAUCUGAUAUCAUUUGACCACUCAAUUGAGUUAUUGAAAUUUUAGUACUUUCUUGAAACACCGUGUUCAUUGAUUUUGUAGGACAAUUGGAUGUCGAAACAGUUUCCGAUUUGUCUAAUUUUUUGCAAGGAUGAUCUAUGAAUACAAACUUAACAAAUGGAUGGUUUGAAUCAUUGAAAAAAAAUUCAUACGGGACCCUAAAGGGUGUUCCUCAAAUAAUCCCUCAAUAGAAAGGAACUGUAAUAUAUAUAUAUAUAUAGGGUCAGGAUUAGGCGACACACAAAAAGCCACACAUUUUGACACGCCUUAUUAACCAUUGGAUUAAAGCACAUUUAAUGGCUGAGAUUGGAUCUGACUAUAUAAUCAUUUAAUAUUUAAUAAAAAUUGUGUAGUGCCUUGAGAGUAUAAAUGAGGACAACUUUUAAUGUCAUCUUGUUUCUCUCUCCAAUCUCACCAGACCCGAAAAAUAAAAAUAAAAAACAAAACCUCUUUUUUUUUUGUUCAUUUUUGGGCUGAAACAUCUCUGUUCUUUUCACCCAUUCUUGCUCAAACCCUUAACAAAUUCGUUUCCUCCUACUCUUGGCUGAGUGGCAAAAUCCUCAGCAUCUUCAUGCAAAUGUUAGAGCAUGUAGUUGUUUGGAUUCCCUCAUAUCUGCACCUAGGGGCUAUUGCCUAUUCUAACUCUAUAAUGGUGAUCCUCAGUUAUGCAACUUAUAAGUUGCUUGGCUUAACCCCAGACACCAGAGUAGAAGAUGUAUUAACCCCAGACACCAGAAUAGAAGAUGUCUUAACCCUAGACACCAGAAUAGAAGAUGGCUAACUAUAAAUCAUUUGAAAGAGCAUCCUCUCAAUCUACUGAUCUUACCCAAAUUUACAUGAAGUUUUACAAACUUUUCUUAUCAAGUUAAAGUAUUGUUUCUAAUCUGGCUUUCUGAUCAAGUUAUCAAGUUAAAUCAUUUGGAUAUUACUGGUUAAGCCAAGCCAUUUAUUAGUUGCAGAAACAAAGGACCCCAGCUCACCAUUGUAGUUAGAAUGGCUAAUAACCCCAAGGUACAGUUCUGUGGGACACCAAACAACUACAUGCACUAACAUGUGGGUAAAGAUGAUGAUUUGGCUCAGCCAAGACUGGGGUGGGUAGGAAACGAAUUGGUUAAAAGGGUUGAGAAGAAACAGGUGAUAUUUCAGCCCGAAAAAGGAUGAAAGAGUUUUGCGCAAAAAAAAAAAAAGGAUGAAAAAGUUUUGCGCAAAAAAUAAAAUGAUGAAAGAGUUUUGCGCAAAAAAAUAAUGAUGAAAGAGUUUUGCGCAAAAAAAUAACGAUGAAAGAGUUUUGCGCAAAAACAAAAAAAGGAUGAAAGAGUGUUGUUUUUAUUGUUUUCCUUUUCAGGUCUUGUGAGAUUGGAGAGAGAAAAGAAAAUUGAAAGUUAUUAUUUAUGUUCCCACGACCCUCCAAAAGUUUUAUUAAAAAAAUAAAUAAUUAUCCAGCCCUUAAUUAUGCUUUAAUCCAAUGGUCUACAAUGUGUGUCAAAAAUGUGUCCCCUGUUAUAUAUUGGUACAUACUAAAUUAUGAAAACUAUACGACUUGCUUACUUGUCCUUUUAUCAGAGAUCAUUCUAUGAAUAUGGUUAAAUUUAAAAGACAAAUAAUGCAACAAACAUAUAUGUAAGAGAAAAGAGGGGAGUAAAAGACAGUUAAAUCUUCUGAACACUUGUAGCCAAAAAAAAUAUAACAGCACAUAUAUAAAUUAUGGAAACAAGCUAAUCUUCAAGGUCAUCUUACCAAGCACAUUGUCUGACACAAUUAAUAACUUCUUCUCUAUAACUGUUGCGGGCUUCUUUCAAACGCUUUAAUUGCUCAUUACUAGCUUUUUCUCUUAUUUGUUUAUCAGCUUCUUCCAGGAGGGAUAUUGACUGCGACUGGUGAGACAUGUAGUACGAUGCCUGCAACCAGGAUUUUAAAAUUCCAGAAAUCUUACAACAUUUGAAAUACACACACAAAUGCGCACACAUCAUGAAAUAUAAUACCUACGUUUCAGAUUAAUCAGUAAGAGGACUAUGAUCACACCUAGAAGGUUUUGGUCAGUUCACAUAGAAGGCAAGACAAAUAAAUCAACAAAUAAGAGCACACAACCAGAAGGCAGAGAACAAAAGACCUGACAGUGUUACUGUUAAAAUCAAAACAUAUAUGGGAAAAAACGAACAAGGAAACAUAAAACCAAGCAAAUAUUAUCAUCAAAUCAACCAACAGAAUAUCACAAUUCCAAAGUUAUUUUAAGUUUUAGCCUUAACAAAUUUUAUCUGCUAAGAAUGCUAACCCGUUAAAGACAAAACCACAUCAGACCAUGACUACAACGAUAUAGAUAUUGAGCACAACAGGUUAAGGAUAACAAAAACAUUGAUUAGCAACACUCCGUAUUCUUUAAAUAAAAAAACGAUCUUGCCCAUUAUCUCCUUACCUGCUUAAAAUUUGGUGCAAGACCUAUAUGAUACAACAGCAACAGAACAUCUAGAAGUUCCUCUUCUCUGAGUGUGGCUGAAGACAUAUUACUUUCCCUUGGUACAAACCUCAAUUGCUGCACUGGGCAAUAACUAAACUCUGAUUCAGAUUGAUAACUAGAGCUAGGUUUAUCUGCUAAUUCAUCAUUCAAAUUUCCAGUACUGCAUUCUGUAGCAACAUGAGCAGAUCUCUCUGGAAUAGGACUGCAAUGGACACGAGAACCUUUGGCUGUGUAUCUAAUCGGAUACUUUGAGAUUCUUGUAAAAUCAUCAUUAUAACAUGAGCAACAACAUGGUUUUUUUGUACUUGAAUGAGUCACUCUGGUUUCUUCAUCAUCCAUACAGCCUUCCUCCCACCGAAUUACUUCUGCUUCCUCAUCAUUUACAGGGUUUGACUUCGAGAGAUGACUAAACGAUCCUCCAAGCCUAGAAUUUUCAUUUCGAUGAAGAUCAUUUCUAAGAAAUAAACCUACGGGAAAGCUUCGUUGACCACCCCUAUGAAGAAAACCAACAUCAGGACCAUUUUCACUGCUCUUCAACCAGCCACAAAUAUCCCCCAUUGCAAACCCUUCAGAUAAAAAAUGAAGAAUAACUGUAUACAAAGAAACAAGAACGGAAUUGCUUGAAACUCCAGGAGGUGGAAGGUUCCGGUCAGCUCCUCUGUUCUUUAGUAGAAUGUUCUGUAAAAAUGUUCUGAACACUGAACCAGGCAACUGGGGAGGUGUCACAGGCGGUAUGAACUGUAUGACCAAGCGACAGAGAUCCCUAUGCUUCUCCUCAAUCUGCGAAUAUAACAUGGAUUAUCAGCAAAAAUUAAGUGUGGAACUUCACAACUGUAAAUGUUGCUCAGCAUAAGCUAUAAAUAAUUACAACGAAAAAAGCGUCCUCAGAUAUGAAAUUCCAAAUCUAUCUGUUGCAGACUAAAUGAUCAACAUUACUGUAAUUAGACUUGUCAAUACAAUUUAAAAUGGAUCAAGGGAAUCCCAUAGAAAACAAGCUGAUGAUGUUAAAUAUUGUUCACCUCCAUGUCAAACAUUGAUGAUGUAAAAUACUGUAUAUAUCCAUAUUAAAAAUUCAAAUACUAAUUAAUCAACUUCACAUCAAAGAUAAAGCAGUUCCCCUCCAAACUCAAUUCACAGCAUACACCAUAAGAGGAAAUUCACUAUUUAAUUCAAAGCUUAAACUUUAAAUACAAAAUGAAAUUAGCAUAGAUUUUUUGUCCAAAUAAAUAAGCAUGGAUUCAAUACUUUCAUAUUGGAAUACAAGAAUAUGAAACUAAAUUUUUCCUAUGACAUAAGCACAAAUAUGUACUUAUCUAUAUCUUUAUCAACUCAACUUGUACCCAAGCAUGACUUGCGUAGAUGAAAUAUGCCUUUACCUUCAUCAAUUCAACAAAACCAAGAAAUAUGUCCUUAUCUACAUCUUCAUCUAUUCAGGUUUCAUGGGAUUUAGUGUAGAAUCCUACUUAUAGAAUCAUAUGGAUCACAUGCCCAUGUUAUCUGGUACAAGUGUGAGAGAGAGAGAGAGAGAGAGAGAGAGAGAGAGAGAGAGAGAGAUUCAUGUGUGCGUGCUGCCAAUGUACAUGGUUUAAUUGAACAUUAAAGCUCAAAUUAUACGGUUUUUACUUGCCCUAAUGAAAACUUCCAUGAGGAAAAUUGUGACAUUCAUCAUACUUCUUGUUCAAUGUUACAAAUAUUUCUAAAUACUUGCACUCUCGCUUAUUAUAUGAUUAACAAUUUCAAAGAGGCUCUUCAUCCCCUUGCCCAACUUUUACAUUCUAGAAAUAAUAUAAUAUGGACAAUACCAACCAACAAAUAAGACAAACUAAAUUAUGGCAAUAAAAGAAAAUCAAGCUCUUUAGCUUAAUAUGUACCUUACUGACUGCUUCAGAUAAAGCUUUAGUUGUCAACGCCAUGGUGCUUUCAUAUGACACAUCCUCACAUGAACCAGGCCACGAAACAGAAGGCAUCAUGGAUUCAAGAUCAUGCUUAUUCGGAUUCUUCCGUGAUAGGAACCCUUCGAAAAGGAAUUCAAAAUCAGGCGAUUUCCACCAAAGCACCAUAAGCUCUUGUCGUCUCAAGAUAUGGCAUGCCAACGCGAGGUAUGGGUAUGACCCUGAACAUGGGCACUCUUUUAGAACCAGUGGAGCUAUUUUGCAACCACACGCCAGGGCAUUUAUGAAAUGUUCAAACAGCAUACGUGAUCCUUCAAAUUCCAGAAAGACAUCGAGAACUCUAUCUAAGCUUGAAUAAUCAUGAGGCACCUGCUGCCCAAACACUUCCAUCAUGAAUGACAGAAAUGGACCCCAGGCAAUGUACUCUAUGCUCCAAACAUCCACUCCAAGUACAGAAAAAAAUUCCUCACAUAUCCCAUGAGAAGCAGGAUAAAAAAGUUCUUCAUGUGAAACAAACCUCUUCAGUCGCCUCCAUUUUUGAACAGAAGAAUGCUUUGCCUGCUCAACAGAGUGCAUACCCAAUAGCCUUGACAAGCAACACAGCAACUGAGUAGCAACCGGAAUUAAGGAUGGAGGUUCUUGAAGGGGAAGGUAGCCUUCAAUGGGAAAUCUAAAGGGGCGGGCCCCAAAAUUUAGUUCGCAUCGUUCACCCUGAGAAAGAGAAAUUGCAGGAUAAUAUCCAGAUACUGGUCCCAUCUUACGAAUGCCAUGAAAUGCAGCCCCAAGUGAGACACCAUUUCUGUAGAAUGAUAUUUCAUUACAAUCCAAAUCUAUGCAGCAGCCAAUAGCAUCACCAACAACCCAAGAUUGACCAUAUGGCUCAGCUUCCUUGUUCCAUUUUCUAACCCUCCUCCCAUCAAAUGCAUACGAAUCAUCAGCAUCACCCACACCCUUAUGGUCAGUAAAAGGGCAAGAAACGGUUGCCCAUCCAAGUUGCUGAAUACCUGAAGUUUCUAGAAUAACUUCAUACAUCCAUUUACAUUUCCAUACAAAAGCAUUAGCUCUGGCACUGCUGAACAUUGCUAAGCUCUCUACAAGCAAAGGUGGCUUAAUAGGUCUAAUAUCACCACGAAUACUGAAUUCAUCAAGACCAACGAUGUGGGGACCACAGCCAUUCCCAGGAAUACAAACUCCAUCUCUGUUUCUAACCAAAGCACUUGAAUUUGCAUGCAAUUUAGAGAAUUCUUUCUGUAUAAUGCAGCGAACUAGAUUGCUAUCAAUUGGACUGGGCAACAAACCAAAAGAUUUGUUAGGGAGACCAAGAACAUAUUCUAAGGUCCGCUCCACUGAUUGAUGGCCAAAAUCAUCACAGUAUGAAACAAGAUGGGUUUUCGACGAAUUCUCUUUACUAUCCUCAUCAUUCAAUAUCACAGCCAGACCAGAAGAAAACCCACCAAUCCGUAGGCUGUCCUCUGCCAUUCUGGACAAGGACGAGCAAUAUAUGCCCAAUACUAUCCACAGCACUGGAAAAAUUUAUUCAAACUUCAAUAUGCCUAAUAGAAAGCCAAUUAUGAUUCCAACACUGAUCCAUCCCAAUCAAAACUCUGAAACCCAAAAAAAUUACCAUCAUGACCUGAAAUCUCAAGGUUGAAAUGCAUACAACUUAGUUUCAUAAACCAUCUACAGAACGUUGUUCUGUUGGUUUCAGAUAAAUACAGAAGAACACAAAAUCACAACAGCAACUUAAACAUAUUCCAUGGACUUGGUUCACAGUGAAAGUAUAUAGAACAACUCAAUCAAGCUUAGCACAAUUAGUCGGCAAAAUUAACGUAAAUGUUUACAAACUACGUGACAAAACAAAAUAUGUAAAUUUCACAUUCCCUUGUCCUUUCUCCUCCCCUCAGUUUUCUCGGGGACCAAACAGGAUCAAGGGGAAAAUGAAUUGGAGGAAAAUUCGGAAUUUAAUUUUAUAAUUCAAAAACAAACGUACAAAAUCUUCAGUGUUCUAAUGGCAACACACAGAAAAUUGAAUAAUUGGAAAAUGAUGAAAGAACUCACAGGUCCUGGCCUUGUUUAUCGUUUUCACAGUAAAUAGCGGCUAGGGUUUGGCAGCAGCCAUCAAAAUUAGCACCGGCUAUAAUCUUAAUAUGCCUCUGAGAGAGAGAGAGAGAGAGAGAGAGAGAGAGGACGAGGAAGAAGGACAAAAAUGGAAUUUUGAAGUUUUCGCCAAAAGUCGGGGGACGCGAGCGCACCACGAGACGAGAGAAAGACAAACAAAAACGAAACAAGCAGCUGCUGCUUCAAGACCACGCACGCUGACCUCAAGCCCUAAAAAUGGAACUUACCGACACGUGUCGCACUCCCGCGGGAGUUACCGGCUGCUGACCUCGCGGGUCGUGCUAAACUGCGCCGGUGGAUGGACGUCUUGUGGCUGUAACUGGAUGGAUCCAUGAGAAUGACGUGUUCCGAGUUUUUUAAUGUUUAAAUUUAUAAAAAAAAAGGAAAAAAAUGCUGCUAUUUCCCCCCUUUGGAUGAGAUAAGAGGGAAGGAGAACAAAGAUGACAGACAAAAGUGGGGAGAGAAUCCAAAGAUUAGAAGGGGAAGAGAGAGGGGGUAAGAGGAAGACGGUGAAAGAUUAAAAAGGAAAUUAAUUUUUGUUUUAUGAAAAAAUAAAAUUAAUUAAAAACCCUUAAUCUGUGAAUUUGUUUAAAUUAAUAAUUAAAUGGUAUUUUUGAAAUAAUAGUUGGUGGAAAGAUAGGAUUAUAUUUUUUCAAAUUUACAUAGUGAGUGAGAAGAUAAGAUGAAUGAGGAAAUAUGACAGGGUGGAAAUAACAGCACUUAGAAAUAUGUGUAAUGUCUAACUCCCUUAAGCUUUCUAGAUAAGCAAUCUAGCAAAUGUUAAGCCAAUAACUCUAAAACAUCGCAUGCUUGAAGACAUUAGGUGCAAAGACACCCUUAUGAGCUUAGUCUCAAGAAAAAAUUACAGUGAUAAUUAAACUAGCUAGUCCCCUAAAAUAUAACUAGUCUCGACUAUGCCAGAAUUGACAUUCACGAGGGGCAUAAACAAACUAAAUGGACCACAACUAUUGUGUAGCAAUAUGAAUGUCAUACAGCCCUCCCUCAAGAUUCCCUGACCCUCACGAUUUACUUGUAGUGUCCUGAUUUGAAAUGUAAUGUGAGGUUUAAUAUUUUUUUUAUACAAAAAAUCAAGGAUUCGGGACGAGGAUGGGGGAUAGCCCCUCAACAGGAAUGAGACAGAGAUUCAUUGAAACCUCUUAAAUAGGGAUGAGGGAGGGGAGCGGAUCCGCUGUCCCCAAUUUGGUGUCCCCUUCAUGUCCUUUCUUUAAAUGUUUGACAAGUGUCCUAUCACUUACCCCUAAUAUAACAGUGUUAAUUUAAUAAAAUAAAAAAACUAAAAAUUGAAAAACAAAAUAACAAUAAAUCAUAACAGCCACUGUUACCAAGUCCCUCCGCCCAGCAAACACCAACAGUCACCCACCCCAAUCACCCCAUCCCACUGGCGGCAACCUCCCUUUCUUACCCUACCUUAGGCCAGCCACCCAACAUAAGCCGCCCUAGGCUCACGAUCUAGUAGUGGGUUAAAGCUUUGCAACCAAUAAAAAUCAACCACCCUUCCCCGAAAUCAUACACAAGUGAGCAGUCCCUUUCAUUGUAAACACAUGCAAAAACAACAAAACUAAACGAAAAAUCAAAUUGAAACAAAAAAUAAAGAUUGGCAGAGAAAAGAACAACAUAUAGAAGAGGAAGGGAGGGAGGGAGGGAUGGAGAGAAAGAGACAGAUACAUAAACAGAGGUUGGAGUGGGUGACUGCCAGGUUGGAGUUCUUAAUGCUGAUUGAUGACGAGCUUUAACCUCAUAUCCCAAAAUGCCGGUUACCUUUGCUCGUGAGGCUCCCAAGGUUAAAAAAGAGGUUGGAGUGGACUGUUGGUGUUUCCUGGGCGGAGAGACUUGGUAAUAGUGGCUGCUAUGAUUUAUUGUUAUGUUGUUUUUCAAUUUUUAGUUUUUUAUUUUAUUAAGUUAACAUUGUUAUAUUAGGGUUAAGUAAUAGGACACUUUUCAAACAUUUAAAGAAGGGACAUGAAAGGGACACCAAAUUGGGGACAAUGGAUCCGCUCCCACGAGGGAGGGAGGGGAUGGGAAGCAGGGACAAAGAUGUUAUUGCCAUAACCAACCCAACUCAUUGUCUUCCCUAAGUCAGAUACCCACGUUUUGAUUAAUCGAACCCAAUGGUCACCCACCCUAAGAAUAAAUUAGUACUAAUUUUUCUACUAACAAACAUAGUAUAUUCAUUUUUUUUACUUUUUACCUCACCAUUAUAUUCAUAUUUAUUUUUUAAUAAAUAAGAUUCUUUAAUAAAUGAAAAGAUAGUAGAUUUUUAUGUUGUUUAUUUUUAUUUUUUAAUAAGAGUUCACGUUUGAUCUCUCUCACAUAUUAUGAAUUUAUCACUUUUGUAGUAACAUGCAUUCAUGUUACAUGACAAAUUAUUAUUUUUAAUAUAAUUGAUGGUCUAAAUUAUUCUAAAUUAAUCUAAUUUAGAAAAAGAAUGAUUCGAAAAUGGACGAAACCCGACUGACAUAAUUCACAUUUGCAAAAUACUUUUUUUUUUAAAUUUAUCUUUAUGUAUGGUAUGAUGUCUUCUUUUUUUUUUUUUUCUCUCUACAAUACCUACUCUACUCAAAAUAGGUCAGCUCUACUAAUUGCCAAACUGAAAAGGUCAAAGCCAGUUUUCUCAUUGAAAACUGAAAUUGGAGUUUGACAUUCCAGUUUUCUCAUUGAAAACAUAAGAGAUGUGUUGUCCAUUAAGGAUGACUCGAUGAGAAACGGUCUCGACGCCCAAACAACUUUGAAUAAAAGAAAGCUUUGUUAAUGUAAAGGUAGGCUGGAUUUGCAUUCGACCAAAAUUCUAAAAUAUAAUUACUGCAAGCACCGACCACGCAGGGACAUGUUUCACUAAUUAUAAUAUAAUCUGUCUUAUAUUUUUUUACUUACAGAGGGUAUGCUGCUAGUAAGCUGCACGUCUAACUUGUACAUGGAGCAUCUUCAAACUCUCAUCAUCACUGAAAUAAGCUCCUCCCCUCUGAUAUGCUAAGUGGAACAAAAUAGAAAAAAGAGAAUCCCUGCCAUGCCACGAUCCCCAUAGAUGAGCUACAUUUACUAGUUACUAUAUCGGUUAACAGCCAAUUUCCUACAGCACCACCAUUGGGGGCAAGUUAACCAAAUCGGUCCCCAUCUGUCUCGAUUGCCACGAAAGUAAAAAUCCUCAUGAGUUCCAUUGCCAAGGCUGAACACGCCCAAUCCUUUCUUCCAACAUUGUUCAGAUUAAGCCUAGCUGAAAUUCCAUAAAGAUGGUCAGAAUCCCAUUCGUUCCACCAUGGAGCAGCAUGAUCAUUAGAGAAAUAGAUACGAUUCCUCAUCGCAACACCAAGUCCCGUCGACGAAACAGAUUGCGAGCAACAUUUGCCUAUAAAUAAGAUUUUAUCACCCAAAUCAUGUACCCUCUUCGAGGACAUCAAGCAAAGAUAUUAGCAGCAUUAAUCUGCCAAAUGUUAUAAUCAUUGCUUAUAAGAUAGAAACUUCCAUCACUUAAGACAGCAUCCUCAAAUGGCUCACCAUCCAGUUUAUGUUUAAGCCAUGAUUCAACUCCUGGGACCCAAAAAGAAAGCUCCCGACAUUCACUAUGAACAAGCAUGCAAACUGUUGAAGGAAAAUGUGAUCCUCCUAACAUAAUUUCACCACUACUAAUUAAUUAAUGGAGUUUUAUUAUUUUAGGCUCGAUCCAUUCGAGACGCAAGUCUCUUAAUUACAAUCCCUUGCUUUAAGAGAACACCCUUUGAUUCCAUCAUAAAAAAACAGAACGUGCAUGUUUGAUUUUGCAGCUGCUCCCAAGUCUAACCUCAGGAUGCCUACGUAUUCCUCGCGGGAAUCAAGCCACUCGUAGUUUAAAGAAUUACAUUGAAUAAAUGACUCAUUGCAAAGGGAAAUGUGAAUGAAUUUGAUUGAAAAGUGUUUGAGUGAAUUUGGCUGAAUAAACCAGGGAUUCGAUUUUGAUGUGUGUUUGGGGUGAAUUUGGUUAAGAAUAAACCAUGGAUUCAAAUUUGGUUGUGGUUGCGUCUAUUAGGAUGCUAAACUGCCUGCGUACCCUUGUUGGGAUCAAACAAACGUAGUUCGGAUUUAAGAUUUGGAAAUUAGCAGGUAAAGGUGACCCACUAAUUAAGAAUUUGUGUUUGAGAGAUUUGAAUUGAAAUUUGCAUGGGUAUAUGACCCAUGAAAAAUUGGAUGGUUUUGUACCAUUUUUCUUGUUGUCAAUGUCCAAGAAGAAUAAUGAGUAAUUUUGAUUAUCCCAUUAAUUUUUCCUAAAAUUGACAAUUGCACUUGGGAAAGUGUUUUGGCAAAAUUUGGUUAGGAUAAACCAGGGAUUUAAAUUUGGCUGCGGUUGCAUCUAUUGGGAUGUUAGACUGCCUACGUACUCUUGACAGGAUCAAACCAACGUAGUUCCAACAUUUGAAAAUUAAUAGGUAAGUGUGGCCCACUAAUUGAGAAUUUGUGUCUUUAGGACAAUUUGGAGAUUUCCAUAGGUAGAUGACCUAUGGGAAAAAUUGGAAAUUAAUGGGUAAGUGUGACCCACUAAUGGAAAAUCAUGCUUGAGAUAUUUGAAUAAUCUCAUUGGAAAAACGACAUAUGUAGAGGGUCAACGAAUUGUAGAGGAAUAACGCUCUGUGAGGAAAAAAAAAAAAACCCCUUCUACGCCGCACAACCUUUGGGGAGGGGGAGGGGGAUGGGGUGGGGAAGGAGGUUCUCUCCUUCUCCCCUUUCCUCUGGUUUCUCUUCUCUAGCCUGCUCCUUGCUGCUUGUGGAUUUCCUUGUGGAGAUUCGUUGCUCGUUUUCUCCUCUUCUUUGUGGGUGUUUCUGCUCUCCCCUUUUGUGGGUGUUCUGCUCUCCCAUUUGGUGGGUAUUGUUCUCCCCUUUGUGGGUGUUUUGCUCAAGCUCUGCUUGAACUCUUGAGGCUUUAUGCCUAUGGUUUCCUUUAUUUACCCAGAUCCCCCCUUAUUUCUCAUCCCUUGUAUUCAGUUGUCCCCUACUCCAUCCAUUUCCUCUUAUCUCCCUCACACACUCCAUUCAAAUCCCUUAUCUACGGUCUUGGUCCUUCCCACCGAAAUUUUCUCCUCCCUUUUGAUCUGGCUUCACCUUGUGGUUGCCUCGGCUAGCCGAAAAUGUGGUUUUCCGUGCACAACUCUGAAGAUGUGUAGAGUUCGAGCUUUUGCUCUUUCUCGGGUGCCUACACCACCUCCUUAUAUUAUGUUGAUGUUUGUUUGGUUUUUGUGUUUGUUCUGGUGCUUUGUCAGGUUUGAUUUGGGAGGUGAUGAUCUUCUUGUGGCUGGCUUCUUUUUUCUUGUAUGUGUCUUUGUAAUAUGUGGGAUUAUAAGGUAUUUGGGUGGAUCUGUUGGUCGUGCGAUUUUUUUGCUUUGUGCCCCUUGGGUGUGGCAGCUUUUCACUUCAACUUGUCCCGGUGAUGUCGUCUCAAGCGGUGGUGGCGGCGACUCUGUUGAAUUUUGGUUAGGGUUUGUUAGCUUUCUUGGCCUUGGUAUGGGCUUGUGUGGGCUUAAUGCCGUCUGGGUUUUUAACUUCUUGUUAGCUCUUUUGCAUUUUAUUUGGGCCUCUAGCAUUUUCUCUUUGUUGAUGUGCCCAGUUGGUUGAGUCUAUCUUUUGGUGUUUUAUUAUGCCCUUUUGUGGGUUUUUAAUGAAAUCCACUUCUGACCCCACAAAAAAAAAAAAAAAUCUCAUUGGAAUUUUCAUGGGUAGAUGACCAAUGAGAAAAAUUGGAAAUUAAUGGGUAAGUGUGGCCCACUAAUUAAGAAUUUCUGUUUGAGAGAUUUGAAUUUAGUCUCAAUGAAAUUUGCAUGGGUAGAUGACCCAUGAGAAAAUUUGGAAAUUAAUGGGUAAGUGUAACCCACUAAUUGAGAAUUUGUAUUUGAGAGAUUUGAAAUUAAUCUCAAUGCAAUUUGCAUGGGUAGAUGACCCAUGGAAAAAAUUGGAUGGUUUUGUACCAUUUUAAUGAGUAUUUAUUUGAUCACUCAUUAAAUACUUUGGGCUUUUGGGAAUUAAUGGGCAAUUUUUUGAUAACCCAAUAAUCUGUCUCUGAGCCUUUGAUAUUUUGACUAACCCAUGAACAAGGAGUCCAUGUUAGAAAAGCGUUGGUACCCAGAAGCGAAUUGAAGCCAAAAUAGCAGCUGUUAAAAGAAAUUUGCUUCCCAUCUUUACACUCCCAAAUUUAUCUGGUAUAUUCGUGACCAAUCCAAUUUGAGAGCUAUCUCCUUUUGCUUCACUUGUACUUUUGGUUUGAUUGUUUGCAAACAAUCAACAGAGAAGGAAUUCAAGGCAUGGCACGUGGCCUUUUCAAAGCCUUGUUUCGUUUCUUUCUUUUUUUUGUUGUUGUCUUCUUUGUUGACUUUUUUUUUCCUUGUUUUUGGUUUGCUGCACAACACUAUGCUGCCAACAAACGUGGCUAUCCUCUUCUUUUCUCAUAUCCCAUUCAUUUCAGACUUGGUGCCGAAAUCACAUGGUCCCAAAUUUGAUUAAGGCACCCCAAAAUGGAAAUCCUUCUCCCAAUGGGUUUUGAAUAAGCCAAAUGUUCCUUGUUGAAUUGGAAGGCCUUGGAGUGAUAAGAAGAACAGUGGCCUCUCUCCAUACAAGAUUAGACCACGCAUGUAUCUAUUUUUAAAUAGAUACGUUUGCGUGACAGCAAACUAAGGCAAAGCACUUCUCAUAGGCCCUGUUUGGUACACCUCCUUGGAUUGGCUUAGAUUGGACUAACUUAAAUAACACCCCAAGCCUAUGUUUGGUGCAGCUCAUCUUUAAGUUAAAUGAGACUAUAUAAUCCUGGCCUACAAAAAACACUUCACUCGUUGGCACAAAAUAGAGAACUCUGAAGAGGUGCCGCUAAAUAAUGAAGACGCUAUUGAGUCUGCCAUUAUCCAACGUUGCUCUGCUCUCCUCUUCUCUUCGACGUUGCUCUGGCUCUCUUCUUCCACGUUGCUUUGUUUUCAUCUUCUGUUGUGCUCUACUCUCACUCACUCAGGUUAGUUGUUCAACUCUCUUCUUCUCUUUCCACUUUCUUCUCUGUUUGUCUCUCUCCUUGGUGAUAUUUGAUGGGUUCAAUAUGUUAUUUCUUAGUUUGAUUUUUAAGUUUUGAUUAUGUGGUUUUUUUGUAGUUAGCUUAAUUUGAUGAGAAAUAACAUUUGUAUUGGUUAAUUUUCAUUGGAUUAUAAUUGGGUAUUUUUCUAGGGUUUUCAAUUUUGAAUUGUUUGAUAUAGGGUUUAGUUAGGAAUGAGAAGAAUAAAGGGGUAGAGGUCAUGUGGCUAAUUACAUGUUGUGUUGGCAUCUAUAAAUAUUGUAUGAGUUUUGCUUUAUAUGAUGUUGGGAUGGUUUGGAGCUUGUCUCACCACCAUGUUUGAACGAAGAAAAGAAGAAUAAAAGGGUAGAGGUCAUGUUGCUAAUCGCAUGUUGUGUUUGCACACAGACAUUUGGUUUUUGCAAACACAACAUGCAAUUGCAAUCACAGUUUGCAAACACAACAUGUAGUUUUUGCAAACUGUGAUUGCAAUUGCAUGUUGUGUUUGCAAUUACUUAGUGAUGGUUUAGCAAUUUACAUUAGGGAAGUUGAACUUUAACAUUUUGGAAAUGUUCUUAAAAUAUAGGCAAGUUUUGGAAAAUUUAAUACCAAUUUUUGGUCUUGGAAUUAUAGUAAAAAUAGUUGAUAAUUAAAAUAUUAUCACUUCAAAGAAAAUUUUAAUUUUUUUUUUUUGUACCAGUCCAAGCAUAAACCAAACACAGGAUAAUACUAUUUUUGUUAUCCAGCUUCUUAGUCCGAUGCAGCAUCAAACGUAGGUCAGUACCUAAUCCAACUUAGACCAAGCCAAGCCAAUCCAAGACAGUCUUAGGAUUUAGUCAAGUCCAUAAUAGUCCGCCGUACCAAACAGGGCCAUAGACUUUGCUUGACCUUUGCUGCCAAAAAAAAUGUGACUGUCUUCAACUCCCUUUUUUUUCAGUUCAUCGCCUCUGUAUGCGCCAGACCCCAUGGUUUUGUUUGUGGGUUUUGUACCCAGAUUGGAUCGGUCACAGAGUGUUUGAUUGAGGGUUACACACCCAUGAUGGAUUUUGUAUCCAAAAUUUGUUUUGUGGGUUUCAUACCCAAGCUAAGAGACUUCUAGGGAGGAACUUUGGUGACGAUGCACAACCUUAGCUGUUUGUCUGUGGGUUUGGAUGCUCAAAGCAUCUGUGAGAGAAAUCUCACUGUCUUGCUGCCUUUGAUUCUUUCAGUUUGAUUUAUUUUUUUGUUGUUUGUCCAUCUCAUGAUGAACAUCAUUGAACGAGCUUUGGCUUUUGUGGCGCCACAAUAAGGGAAACCUAGAGAACUCUAGGAUUUCCUCUACGCCCUUUCCAAGAGAGUUGUGCACCAGUUCUGAUUUUUUUUGGUGAUUUGCCCAACAUGACAAUCAGCCCACACGAAUUGAUGUUGAAUUGGAGGUUGGACACAUCUUUGAAAGCAUUUGAUCAGAGCUGCCUGUUGGAAUAGAAUAUAUGAUGAUUGAAAUCAUCUUGGCUGUCAAUCCAUAGCUGGCUGUCCUGGAGGUACUUGAGAAGAGGUACACCUUAGAGUAGUUUCUUGACUUAAUAUGUGAUGAUUUCAAUCAUCAUAGCCAAGAACCCCCAUGGGUUAAUCGUACUGGAUGUUGAAUGCAUCCUUGAAAGUCUUUGAGCGAAGCCUUGCCAUAGAGAGAUUCCUCACUUUAUUUACGAUGAUAGAAGUCACCAUAGCCAAGAAUCCUCUUAUGUGCUUGCUCUUCCUCUUCGUUCCUGCAACUCUCCCCAAGACUUGCGGCCUUAUAGGCUUUUAUUUUUUUCUGGAGCCUCCCCUUUUAUUUUGUUUCUGCAACCUCACGGCUGCCUCCUGCCCCCCGAUUCUUGCUUCUAGGCGUCAUGCCUCUUAUAAAGGCUAUAUUAUGACGAGUUUGAAUUCAAGCUGAUGACCACUUCUCAACUGAGAUGUUUAUCUCUUUGUGUUUCAUAUCUAACCAAAUACAUCUCUUUUAUUUUUUUUAUUUUUUAAUUUUUUAAUUUUUUUUCUUGAUAAGACGGCGGGGACAAGAAUUUCAAUUAUAUCCCAAGUCAAACUCCUGGCUGAUUGCUUUUGUGAAAAUUUCCCGUUCAACACAUAGUUUUCAAGGAUGGGAAGCCCCGAGAGAACAAUCUUAUGAUAAAAGUUCCAUGUUUUGGGAAGAUCAGUUUUGUUCCUAGAGAAUGGAUUCAACAAGCUAAUCUCAAGAUAGAAACAACCAAUAUGUUUUACUAGAAUCAACCAAUCUUGAUAUGAUCCCCAACAAUAUCUUCCAUAAGCCUCAGGAAGCACAAUGUCCCAAUGUUGUUUUUGUAGUACGCUAAUACAAGUUCUUACCUCUCUAUCUUUGCCAGACAUCAUGAGCCAUGGCACACCACGGCUUUGCCAACCAGCAAGUUCUUGUGCAACAACAUGUCUCCAGGCUUUGCAAACAUCACUAACAGAUAUACAAUCAGUCACACUCACAGUCAGUCGCUCAAAGAUGAUCUCAAGGAUACCCCGAGGCAGCUCUGUCCAAUCCAGAUUAACAAGCUUCUGCUGCUUCUGUCUUCUAUUUCUGCUUCGACCCAUCGUCCAGCUCUAUGACUCUACUCGCCUACAAAAACAAAUAUAAUUAUUGAAUAUCCUUAAACUAUCUUUGGGAGAAAAGAGGGGGGAAAGAAAUCAUAAACGACAUGUACAUAAUAACACAGUCCCAAAUGUAUAUCUUCAGAAAGUAAAGGCCGAAAAAUAGACAUCAGCAAACAAAUGGCAAACGGACAGUCACAGUCAGUCACAAAAGUGAGCAAAAGAAUUACCUUCACAGCUGUAAGUCGAGUGAUCUCAUUUCCCAUCCGAUCAACAAGCACAGGAAGGCAUACAGGCAGUUCAACAUUAAGGUUAUCACCAAAUGUUCACACAACUAGAUCCAUGCAAGAUAUAGCACAUUCAUUUACCUCCUGCAUAAGAAUAGACAUGAGCCACAAUAUGUGCAGACAUAAACAAUUAAGUACAUAUAUAGGAUGAUCUUGAUCUUUAUUUGUCAAGCGUGAUAUUAUGGCAUUAUAUAUUGGAUGAACAUAAGGUUUGAAAUCAAAACCAAUCCCCUACAUGGAAUAACCAUAUCAUAUAAGUAGAGAAUAGUUUAACAGGACCACAAGACAAAGUGUGCCCACUAAUACACCUCGAUAUUCAGGCGAACAACAUGGAAAAAUUCCCUACACACCCUUAAUGCUUCAGCUGUGACUUUGUAAUAACGCUCUCCCACAGCAGAUACAACAGGACUAGAAAGAGUCUGCAAUAAUAUGAGUUUAUAUUUUAUAAUGUCCCCAAACGAAUGCAACUAGUGGUCUAUUUCUCAAUGUCAUAUCAGCGUAUUCAUAACAUAGCAUAUUCGUAAGAGUUACUGCAGUUACCUUGAUAUAAGGAUGGAAAACACAGAAGGAGAAUGUGAAGCCAGCACCAAUUGCGCAGAUAUAAGAGCUUCAAUCUUUAAAUUGGAGGUAAAAGACUUAUCCUGGAAAAAAUUACAAGAGACCACCAAAAAAAGGAAAAAAGGGGAACAAAUAUCAGCACCAGAAAAGACUUAUCUUAGUUCAAAAUACACUUACAAUUUGAGACAAUUUUACUUACACUUAACGCCUUUUCAAUUCCUGGACUGAGUGAACCCUUGUGAUCAGCCAGGAAAUCUGGAAAGACCACCACAAGUUCUUUCAAAACAGAAAGAGCGCCAACCCGAAAAUAGAUAAAUGUUAUAGUUCAGAACAUUCCCAUAACAAACAAUCCAAAAGAUAUUUAAAAAAUCCUACCUUUGUCUUGAUAGAUUUCUCAUGUAGCUGCCUAUUUAUAGAUCUGACAAUCUUUGGCGCUUCUUGCUUCAAUAACCAUUUUGGACUGCAAAACAUGCCAAGAAUUUAGCAAAGGCAUCUAAUAACUCAGAACUAGGACUUCCCUAGUUAAGAAUCUAAGAUUUCUAAAACCACACCCAACCGAGCAAAUGCUAGAUAAGAGGUAAAAGAGAAAACAAACUGCAUGUACUUUAACACUCAGAUAACAUUACAAGUUUACAACUAAGUUACCUCUGAUCAUUUAUCUCAAUCCGUCCUUUUGUAACAUUUUCAGUUUGCUGCAACAGUUCAAUGAAUGUAUUAAAAAAUCCAUCUGCAGCAAAAUAAUUAAUCCUGUGAAGUGAGAUGAUCCACUGACAUUCAUUCUGGUUUACAUUGACAUUUUCCUCCCUCUCUUCAAACCUGUCAAUUAAUUUUGGACAAGCCUGCGGAAAAGCAGAAAGUGUUUAAUGAUUUCAUUGAAGGACUAUUGUGAGAAUUGAAGGAAAUUAAACAUCACAUUUCAAGUCGAUGAGAGACCAAUACCAAGUAAAAUACAAAAUCAAAAUGUUACAAAUAUAUCGAUAGCACAAGAGAGCACACAAAAAUAUAAUGCGAAGUUUCAAGAGAAAUUGCAAAGCAUCUCAGGACUAUUGUCCUCAUACAGCUUUGAAAGCAUCUCAGGACAGGAAACAAUUAAUGCCGCUAAGCAUUUAGCUGCUGCUCUUCGGACUUUCCAGCUGACAUCUUCAUCCCCCGUAUAUUCAGUCGCUCACUACAACAUAAUAAAGCCAGCAUAAUUAGAAAUCAUUUAGUGGACCUGUGACUCCGAGUCAAACAUAACCUCACACAGCUUGAAAACAUACUCAUCUUCCUUGAGUUUCAUCAUCAGAAUCCUCCUCCAUGCUAUCAGUGAAGUUCAGGUCUUUAAAGUUAAUGUGGCACGAGAUCAAAAAGAAAGAUUUAAACGAAGAGGUGCUGAAGUGGAAGAAGGUACGGAAACUAUGCAGCCUUUCCAUACUUUCACAACUCUAUUUUAAAGCUUUUUGUCCUGAUACAAUCUGUUUGGUGUUUGACAAUGUGGACGGUCUUACAUAUUUCCUCUUCCUAAGCUUUUUAAUCCUGCUCACCCUCCUUGGAUUAUCAUUUUCCUUCAUUUUCUCUAACUUCUCUUUCCUCCCUUCAAUAUCAGAUUGAAUAACUUUCUCUCUCUUUUCAUCUGACAGCAAAGCCAAUCUAGCAAAUUUCUUGGGCCUCACUAGGCCAAGCCUCUCGGUUAUUUCCUUAAAUGCAGGAACAAGACCGCGCCGUAGGAAGCAUCCAUCAAUCAGCUGCAUUGAGUUUGAUUCAGGGAGAGCUGGGGCAUCUUUCAACUCAAGGUCCAAACAAAACGGGGAGUCCUUUAACCACAUCCUGAGGGAGUGUGCCUUCGCUACAAGAAGGCCACUUCGUGUUUUGCAAGGCAGAAAAGGUGAACCCAUCUCCCAAAGGCAUGCCUUCAAUGUACUGUUAAGUGAAACCAUGUUGUACUCGGAUGUCCCCGUUAUCAGCACAACUGAUUUUGGAGAUUCUGGAUAACCCUCCAAUGAUGCAUCCUGCCAUAAGACAAGAACCUCUGUGUUAGACUCAAAAAUGAAAGGGGAGCUUCAAAAGGGUAGUGAUCUCAAACGAAACUGUGAAGGAGAAAGAGGGUUGCCUGCAUCUGAUCCAGCCAUAAAGUAAGACCAACAAGAGCAGAACCAGCUGAUAACUUUCUAAAGUCAGCAGCCCAGUCUUUGUCAGCUACCCUGAAUUUAAAAGAUUACUGGGUAUAAGCAAACCGAUGGAAACGGAAAUUGAUUGAUAAGGAAAACCACUUUCUUUUCUUUAGCCUUGAUAGACAUAACAUCCCAGAUGGUUGACUAUUGGAUCUACCAACACCUACCUGAACACAUCAUUGUUAUAGAUGCCUCUCUUUACUGCUAAUUGGAAAACCCAUGAAGCAGUGGCACGGAGUUCAUAUGCCCACAAAAGGUCCUCCAAAGCAUUGACAAAGUUGAAGGCUGCAUUGUCUUCCAAGGGUUCUAGUUUUUCUAGGCAAUGAUCUACUUCCAAAAUCAGUGACUCAGGUUUUUCUGUCACAAGCCUACAAGACAAGAUUUGCUUGGAGAUGGAUCAGAGGAGAAAAAACUUGGAAAAAGAAGAAAAGUCGGAUUGUGAUUCUAACUUGAGAACUAAUAAUUACCUGAUUGGAAGAUCAAAUCCGGCAUCACGCAGUGCAUUUAGGAGAAUAAUGGCUUCACUUUUGUGCUGGGAUAAACUUGCAGCCCGUAUAAAGCAAGUCCAUAUUCUAUGAUCUGGCUCCAGGCCUACUUCCUUCAUCUCAUUGAGCUUUUGAAUUCCAAUGUUAUAAUCUCCAUUCUUCAGAUAAGCACCAAUAACUGAACUAUAUGGUAACGUAUCAAGAUCUAAGCCAGUUACUUUCAAAUUGUCAAGCACCUUUUCAGCUUCCUGAGGCUGUCCAGAGCUGCCAUAAGAAACCAUAAGCAAGUGCAUUGUGGCAAAGUUGGGUUCUAUUCCGGCCUCUUUCAUCAUGGUGAACAACAUUUCAGCUUUGGCAUGGUUUCCUGAAUUUCUAAACAUUUUCAUCAUUGUAUGAUAGAAGGACCGAUCCAGUUUACAUCCAUUUGACCUUAACUCUUCAAAAAGUUCUUCAGCUUGAUCCAACAGCUUCUGCUUACCAAAUGCCGAAAUUAAGCUUUUGUAAGUGUCCAACUUAGGUUCUAGGCCCUGCCUUCUCAUUUCCUGCAUCAAUGAUAAACCUUCUUCUGGUCGACAAUCUCUGCAGUACAUUAUAAUUAAAGUAUUGUAAGUAUCGUCAUCAGGUUGAAGUACAGCUUCUUGAAUCUGCUGGUAUACUUUAACUGUCUUUUUGAAAUCCUUAAUUCCUGCAUAUAACUUAAGCAUGGAAUUCCAUAUUGAAAGAUCAGGCUUGAACCCUGCCUCUUCCAUCUCAUAAACCAUUGCUUCAACAUCCCUUACUCGUUUUCCCCUGCACAAUAACUUGAUCAUAAUCCUGAAACAAUCCAUGUUAGGAAAAUAACCUGCAGCCUUCAUUCCAUGGUAUAUCUUCUUUACCUCAAAUAUGUUACCUUCUCGAGCAAAUGCUUCAAGCAUCAAGAGAAUUGAACUCUUGCUUAUUUUUAAACCCAUAUCUUGCAACUCCUGGAUUAGAACAUAGAGCUCAUCCAAUCUCCCAUCAGCAAUCAGAGCUUGCAAAAGACCAUUUACAGAAUCAAUUGUUGGGGAAGGACCAUCUCUCAUCAUUGUGUUAAAGAUCACUCUAGCUCGCUCAUAGCAACCACUUGCAGCAUAAGCUUGAAUCAAGGCAUUCCAGACCUUCCUAUCCACUGCUUUACAUCUUUGUCUAAGACUUCCCACCAAACUUUCAGCUUUCUGCCACAGCUUCAAUUUCCCGUAGACUUCAAUAACAUUAACAUAUAUGUUGACAUUGUCAAAAAAAAUGCCUUUCAUUUCUGCCUGAUCAAUCAAAAGGUGGGCUGUCUCAGGGAAACCCAUCUUACAAUAGAUGAGCACCAUAAUUUGGUAAAGAUGCUCAGAUGGUUCAACACCAUAUAAUCUCAUGUCAGAAUAAACCUGAGAAGCUUCACCAAAGAGUUCAUUCUCUUCGCAGCCUUGAAUCAGGAUUUCAUACAUGGUUGAACUUCUGCUAAAAGAAUGGAACCCUCUGGUAUUACUAUAUUCCACCAAGGCAGCAUCAAAUCUGUGAGCCUUACAUUGUAUGACAACCAAUGCUUCAGUUAUAAGUUGAUUGGAACCGGGAGCAUGUUCUCUCAAAAAUUCAAGCAAUUCACAUGCUUCUGAGUGCCUUCCACAUGAACUAUAUGAACUGACAAUAGAUAAAAGACUUUCCCUGUCCAACUCAUAGCCACUGGUGAUGGCUAAUCUCAACAUUUUAGCAGCAUGGUCAUAACAUUCUCCCUUAACAAGAAUAGAAGAGAUAACUUGUGGGUUCAUACCACCAACUUUUUCCAUAUCUCUGAUCACUCUUUCAAUGACUUCCAAUUUAUUUUCUCUUCCAAGCACCCGCAACAUAAACCCAUAGAGGGCAUGAUCCAGCUUGAAACCGUCAUGCAGCAUUUCCUGAUACAACGUGAUAGCCUUCUUUGUCUCAUUGACCUUCAGAAAGAUAUCCAAUAUAACUGAGUAUGCUAGAUGAUCUGGUCUAAUCCCAGACUUAACCAUGCAAUCAAAUGUCUCUUGAGCCUCCACCUGUUUCCCAGCCUUGGCAUAUGCACACAUCAAAGCACUAUAAGUCCGAAGAGUGGGUUUCACUCCACUGUCCAACAUCUCUGACAUCACAUUAGCAGCCUCCGUUAUCUUAUUUGCUUUUCCAAGCGAAUCGAUCAAUACAGUGUAUGUAACAGCAUCAGGAGUCCGGCCUAGCAUUUUCAUGUCCCUGUAAAGCUGAAACGCUAGAUCAUGCUGGCCCUGCUUGCCAUACAUGUGGAUAAUAGUAUUGUAGGUCAUCUCAUCUUUACCAAACCCCAUUUUCAUCAUAUCUUCACCAAUAUCCCUCACCUUUUCUAUAUCAAGUUCUCUUGCAAAAGCAUACAACAAGGAAUUAUACGUCACUGCAUCUGGGAAAAACCCUUUCGACUCCAAUUCCUUAAAGAGCCGCUCAGCUUCGCUCGAUUCUCCACAUCUCCCAUAGACGGAAAUCAUGGCAUUGUAAGUCCAAAGAUCAGGCUGACAAUUAUGUGCUUCCAUAUCAUUGUAAACCUUCACUGCCUCCUCCAAAUUGGAUUCACGCGAACAGCCACUUAUAAGAGUAUUAUAAGUUAUUAUAUCUGGCCUAAGACCUGAUCUUCUCACCUCAUUUAAAAGGUCAAUAGCCAAGUUUGGUACCAUGGCUCCUGACCUCAGGCGAGCAUUUAUCAAAGUAUUGAGACUCACGAGGUCCGGUUCGCACCCUCUCUCACGCAUUAAAUUGAGCAAUUCUUGGACCUUAUUAAACCGGCCAUUUCGUGCAUAGACGCCCAUCAUGGCAUUGUACACUUGGACUGUAUUGCCAAUUCCGGGUUCAGCCCUCGUGAAUAUUUCCACAGCUAAGGCUUCCUGGCUAGCCUUUCCAAGGACUGCUAAGAUAGUGGCAAGCAUCCGUGCAUUCGGGGAGUACCAGUGGCGUAAAUUCAGCCACUCGUAGACCUCCAAUGCACGCUGCCAGCUCGACUGGCCAACCCAUUUCACCACAAAGCAAAAAUCAGUUGGGGUCAUUUGAACUUUCCUAUCAUCCAACACAUCAGCCACAAACUCGUCGGGUUUCAGUCCCAAAAUCCUAUCAGUAAAAAGUUUCACUCUUUCUCUCCAAUCUUUGGCUCUUUUGAGAGCCAGUUUGGUCAUUUUCUUGGCCUUAGUCUUGCUGUGCCUCCCCAACACUUGUUGGGUUUCAUCAUUCGUAUCCAAAGAACCCACAGAACCCAAAUUCAGGUCUUCUUCCUCUUUCCCCUCAGAGUCGGAAUCAGGGGAAUCUUGCACAACAUGGGUCGUGAGUGGAGGAGUGA
RNAcentral lists this long non-coding RNA (81772 nucleotides) under Prunus persica (peach). RNAcentral's name for it is "long non-coding RNA (PPER_LNC006296)". Lineage: Eukaryota; Viridiplantae; Streptophyta; Magnoliopsida; Rosales; Rosaceae. The record is from RNAcentral.